RNAcentral lists this long non-coding RNA (86705 nucleotides) under Malus domestica (apple). RNAcentral's name for it is "long non-coding RNA (MDOM_LNC011947)". The record is from RNAcentral. Lineage: Eukaryota; Viridiplantae; Streptophyta; Magnoliopsida; Rosales; Rosaceae.
CACACUAAGGGAGAUGUUGAGAUCAAGGAGGAGCAUGUUAAGGUUGGCAAAGAGAAGGCCUCCCACCUCUUCAAGCUGAUUGAGAACUACCUCUUGGAGCACCAGGAUGCCUACAACUAAACAUUAUCUGCUGCUACAUUCAUGUGUUAUUUAGUCUCGUGUCAUCUUUGCCAUCAAAUAUUGUUGUGGUUUUAAUCCGUUUUAUAUAUCUUUUUCCCUUCCAAAACAGAGUUUGGCUUGUACGUAAUUGAAGGUUUUGAUUGAAGAUUGAAUAGCGGAUCUGAUUAUUCAUGCAUGUUGUUGUUGUUCUUGUUUUUUUUUUUUUUUUUUUUUUUUUAAUGCAAAAUUGUAGUUACUAAUGUUAAGUUCCAUUUUCCUAACUGCUUUAGUUUACUUAACACAUGAGAAGCGACAUUUCAAUUACCAGCAAAUCAUAAUAAUUGAAUAACAUUUGAAUCUCUACCACAUAAUAGCAUAAAGUGAUGAAAUGAAAACUCUGAUUUCGUUUUCCUUGUAAACCAUUUGGUAAUUCAUACCAUAAAUACGCCCAUGAGUUAAACAUACCCAUGAUGAUGAUUUAAGAGCUUGCCUCAUCUGUCAUGACUCAUCUUCAUCCGCGGCUCUUGCUUCUUGCACACGAAUUUUCUUAGCUAAUCUUAUUUUCGAUUUUUAAAUUAAUGUACAUCACGCCAUACAUGUUAGGUCUGCUAUCCUAACGUGUGAUUUUAUUUUUAUAUUUCACCUAUUUCUUUUGGCGUUUCAAAGCUUGUUUUGCAGGUUUAUACCUUUUUGGGGGGUUAGGCCCUAUAUCACUUCCCUCUUUUUCUUGUAUUUCUAGUUUUGUUUUCAAGAAGAAUCAUGUUUAUGUUCCCCCCUCUCGUUUUGCUACUUUUCUGCUUAAAAUGACCCGUGACUUUGUAAAUAAGCAAACUUACCAAACACAAAUUUUACUCGAACGAUUUUUAUCCAUGCUUUUAAAAUAAUUUAAGUAGUACCAAACCUUACCUUAAUUGUUUUUUAUUGACAAAUGAUAUUAUCUACAGUAAGGAGUUAAGAGAUCGAGCUAAGCCUCACAUUGAGCUAGUAAUAAUGUGCUUCAAAUUUAUCUUUGGUGAGAAUCGAACCUAAGAGAUCUCACUUACAAGUGAAGAGAAAUACCACUAGCUAGACAAUCAUACUAAGUGCCAUUUAUUUUAGGGGUUCAAACAUAUAAAAAAAAGAAGAAAAGCAUUAGGUUUUUCAAAUCAUAACUAAUGUCUGAGGCCAAACGAAUCAAUAAUGUAAAAAUAUCGGACCUAAUGAACUAAAACAUAAAAAUUACAUACGCACCAAAUUGACUGUAGCGAAUCUACUGAACCUAAUGAACUAAAACAUGAAAAAUACAAACUAUACCAAAUAUACUAGAUCUAAUGAACUAAAACAUAAAAAAUAUGAACCAUACCAAAUUGAUCGUACCGAAUUUACCAGACCUAAUGAACUAAAACAUAAAACAUAUGAGCCGUACCAAAUUGGUCGUACCGAAUUUAUGGGACCUAAACUAUAUAACGAACCAAAUUGAAGUCACAACAUAAUAGACCCUACAAAACUUCGGACCUAAACUAGUACAACGUACCUAAUUGUUAUUUACAAAAUAUAACCAAACGUACCUGAUCAACCAACAGAACCAAACAAUGAAAUUCCCCACAUAGGCCUUUCAAUAAACCCAUGGUAUGCAUUGUAAGGUAAUGUUGUCUCUGCCAAGACAAUUUUUGGAUGUAAAUUAGUGCAUUCUCCACAUAAUAUCAUUAUGAGAGCUUUCAAAAGUAUGGUAAUGGAACUGGUUAUACAAUAUUUCAAAUUUGCAUAAUUAUAAAAAAAAUGGUACGUUAUAGACAAAAAAGAUGACAUUCUUGUAGAAAAUGAAGAUUGAUGUUACGUUUAUAGGUGAUAUUGAAUCUACAGUUACAUUUUUAAAACUUUGAUGGUGGUGGUUACGUUGCAAACAAUAUAACCCGAAUAUCUAUGAAUUUGAUAUGAUAUUCAAUCAUAAACUAACUAAAAAGAAUUAGGUGAUUGUUCUUUGUAUAAAAGUAAUCGAAUGUUGUUUCAUUUUUUGAGAUUAAAAUCAAAUACAAUAUUACACUUGAAUCAUAACUCCAUAUUGCAAAUAAAUACUGCUUUUGUAUGAGCAAAAGAAAAAACGAAAGCCACACGGCUGAAUAAACAGAAAAAAAAAAAAGGAGAGGACAGAAAAUUUGUUUCCCUACUUUUAGCAUGCAGAAUCAUAUGUAGAUCUAUGGUUUUAGUUAUAGGCAUCAGGGUUGGCCACAAGGUAGUUCUCAAUGAGCUUGAACAAACCAUGGGCCCUUUCUUUCCCAACCUUAACAUGCUCUUCCUUAAUCUCAAUAUCUCCAUUGGUGUGGUAGUGGCUAGUGCUUUUGAUGAUGGAACCGCUGCCGGAAGCCACCAACUUAGUCUCAUAAGAGAUCUUCUCAAUCUUAUCAGAAAUGACAUCUCCUUCAAUCAAACUGUAGUUGUAGACAAAGUUAUCCUUGUCAAUUCCAUCAACCUUGUGCUUCACAUAGCUGUAUUCACUUCCUUCACCAAAACUUAUCUUCUUGAUGGUUCCAACACCUCCAUCUCCCUCAAGAAUUUCAGCAGUUUUAACUGCUUGUGGAGCAAUCUUUGGGAUAAGGUUGUCAGCAUCAAGAACAAGAGCAUUGUACAACCUAGCAGGAGCGCAGACUGAGGCGAAUUCAGUUUCAUAUGUGAAGACACCCAUGGUGAUGAUUGAGAGCUUAGAAACUGAUCAAAGUAAGAAUGAAAUGUGAAGGAAGAAAAGAGAAAUUGAUAAUGAAGGUAUUUGAUGGUGGAAGAUAUGGAGGUGGUAUUUAUAGGUUAUUGGUGAGGGGCUGUUGUGUAAUGUGAACCCCUAUGGAUAGAGAAAAUUGGACAGUAUUUAGUUUCCCAUUGUGAACAUUUUAUUCAACGAAAGGCACCUCUAGAAGUUGAUUUUGUAUAUUCCAACUUAAUACAACUAGCUGGUGUGCUAAUUAAUAAUGUGGAAUUUUUUUAAUAGAAUGUUCUAACACGAGAUGAUCGGAAUAUUACAGCAGAGCUGGUGUGUUAAUUCUGUUGACUACUGACUCAAUAAUAUCUUUUUGGACUAGAAUAAAUCUAAGUUCCCUUUAUGAUUCAUUUCUUAUCUGAAGUUCUGAACUCUUUGAUCAACAUAAGGACUCCGAUGAAACUACAAUGUUGCUCGUUCCCAAGUGUUUUAUUCAAAUAGGGUCGCAUGAUUGGUUUAGAAUGUCGUCACAUUAGUGUUUCUGAAACUUCGACAUAAUAUUAAUUAAGAGCGGACUUAUUUGAAAGAGCCCGAAUAUUAGUAAGCAACCAGUCAAGUUAAUAUUUGUACAUUAUUUAAUCGACUCUAUGGCGCGAAUUUAGUUCCAUUGUACACAUGCAUGCUUAUUUCUUCUCAAGUGAGCCCAUCCUAACCCUACUCUUCUCCAACACACCCCCCAAAGUCUCUCUUUUCCGACGACGCCACCUGAAAUCGUUCUCUUCGACAACAACAUUUGUUCGAAGAUGAACGGUCAUGGGAGAGGAGAGAACGACAUCGAGAUGAGAGUAAUGGGAGUCAGAUGUUUGGUUACGUAGUUAAGGAUGUUUGGUUACAGGACUAGUGUGUAUAUCAAAUUGUUUAAAAUUGGCACAUAUUUGUAUCUUAUUAGGUCACUUAAGAGAGUGAAUAAAUUGAAUAUUUUCCGGUGAGUAUCCAAGUAUUAUCCUAUUAUUAAUUAGUUUUAUAGCAGAACUUCAAGUUCUUUCACCAUUUACAUUUUCAAAAGAUUUACAAGUAGUUUUGCUUUAAAAAAUAGAUGCAAAUUUAAAUUUGAGCCCACCAUCACUUUAUUAUCCCUCUUCCAGAAAAAAAAAAAAAAGAAAAGAGGAAAAACCAAACUUAUCUUUUGAUGUCCCUUUAAAUUUGCUCACUAAACUUUCCGACCAAAAGAAGCUCAAAACUUUAAGAAGGGCAACUUGUUCAAAGUAUUUCUGAAAGGUUCAUACCGAUCAUAAUUUGUGCCAACACUAUUACAGGUUGGAAUCAAGACUUUCAUUAAUAUUUCAUGAACAAUAUUACAAAAAUAUCAAUAUAUCUUUUAAUUUGAUUCCAAUUGUAACGUUUUAUUACUAUUUUUCUAUUAAUCAAAACAAAGCCAAAACAAAACAUUUGAACACAAACCACAAAUAUGAACAAGUUUUAAUUUAUUAAAAUGUUUUAAAAGAGUGACAUUUUAUAACCAAGGGCGAGAAAAACGCCAGAACAUACAAUAGUCCAAAGGGUAAGCUUCGACGGAGGGUCUCUGAAAAACCUUACUUGAAAAAGCCACUUGGGAAAAAUUCCAGUGAAAGAAAAGAGACCGAGCAAGCCAACAAAGACAACAACAGAACAUUUAAGUAGUUAUAGACUCCGAAAUUAAAAUAUCAACAAGCCAAGGAGGGCCUACAUCAGUCCAAAAAUCAAAGCAUUGUUCAUGAAGACCAUGUCACGCAAUCCGGUGCGCAGCCCCAUUCGCAGGUCUGGAAAUUGCCCACAGGACCAAGUAACGAUCCUGAGUUAGCUGUCGCACCACAACCACAUAGCUGUGCCUGUAGAUUAUCAACCAGUUUAUGCAAGUUCGUAAUGUACAGUUCUAUUGUUGUCCCUACUGCCUCACGACUAGUAUAUGCACUUCCAGAGGUUCAAUUUAGGAAUGACUUGACCUGCAAUUCAACAUUGGCUGCAAUGCGUCGACUUUUGAUUGGCAGUCAUUUUUCAUUGGCUUUUCACAUCUCCAAAUUUGGAAUAUUCAAUUGUAACAAAUAUUAUCCAAAUACACAGUCCUACUAUAUUAUCUUCUUCAGAUGCCCUUAUGUCCGCUACCCGUGACUAUGCCCGUUGUGAAUGUACAUAAAGUAUUAAUAGACAAUAUGAUUAGAGAUACUCCAACAAUACGUCAACAAAAGUCGGAUUAUUGAAAAGUCCAGUAAAUAUAACAGCACAGGACACAAAGUGUUAAGUUGGGGGAGAAUAUGAUCUCUAAAACACUAAUUACUUAGUGUUACGGUCUAAUAAUAUUCUUCUUUAAUUGUAAAUAAGAUAACUUAGGUUCGAACGUGUGAAUUACAAAUUUAACACCAAUUUAUUUUCUACACCCCUUAGUGUAAAAAUAUAUCUUUGUUUUAGAAAAUAUGAUGUGUGAUCUCUAAAGCACUAAUUGGUAAGCACAAGAAAAAAUUGAGGUUAGUCCAUCUCGUGGAGUAAUUGGCCAUUUCUUAUUCUAUGUCCAGAUGGUUCUUUCCUUGAUUACGAUACAAAAUUUCCUUGUACAAAAGUAAUGGUUCCCACGUCCACGAUGAAUAAAACCCAUUAAACAAUUAGGAGCUUGCGUAAACCUUUUGAUCCACCUUCUGCCUCAGCCUAUAAAUACCAAUACAUCUUCCUCACUUCUUCACAACUCAAAAUCUCCCAAUACAUCAUCUUUCUUUCUUAGACUUCCUCUUCGUCGAUUAUUUUCCCACUUCACAAACACAUCUCAGAAUCAUGGGUGUUUUCACAUACGAAUCCGAGUUCUCCUCCGUCAUCCCCCCCCCCACUAGGUUGUACAAUGUUUUUGUUCUUGAUGCUGACAACCUCAUCCCCAAGAUUGCACCACAGGCAGUGAAGAGCACUUGAGAUCCUUGAAGGAGAUGACGGCGUUGGAACCAUUAAGAAGAUCAACUUCGGUGAAGGUAGCACAUACAGAUAUGUGAAGCAUAGAAUUGAUGGAGUUGACAAGGACAACCUUGUGUACAAGUACAGUGUAAUUGAGGGAGAUGCUAUAUCCAAAACAAUUGAGAAAAUCUGCUACGAGACUAAGUUGGUGGCUUCCGGCAAUGGUUGCGUCAUCAAGAGCAUCAACCACUACCACACUAAGGGAGAUGUUAUGAUCAAGGAGGAGCAUGUUAAUGCUGGCAAAGAGAAGGCCUCCCACCUCUUCAAGCUGAUUGAAAACUACCUCUUGGAGCACCAGGAUGCCUACAACUAAACAUUGUCUGUUGCUGCAUUCAUGCGUUAUUCAGUCUCGUGUCAUCUUGCCUUCAAAUAUUGGCGUGGUUUUAAUCCGUUUUAUAUAUAUUUUUCCCUUCCAAAACAAUGUUUGGCUUGUACGUAAUUGAAGGUUUAGAUUGAAGAGUGACUGUUGUAUUUUCUUUCAUUUGUAAUAAACUCAAAAUUAAUGGAUCUGAUUAUUCCUGCAAGUUUUUUUUUAAUGAAAAUUUGUAUUUGCUAAUGUUAUGAUCCACUUUCCUAACUCUUUUAGUUUACUGAACACAUGAGAAGCGACAUUUCAAUUACCAGCAAAUCAUAAUAAUUGAAUAACAUUUGAAUCUCUAUUAGGGGUGGGCAAAUGAGUAGAGGAACCACAGAUCGGGGCGAGUACAGGCCGGGCCGGGCCUUUGUUUUUUACGGGGCGGGCCGGUUCCUAAACCUUAGAAAAACGAGCCCCGGACCGACCCGUUUCUAAUUAUAAUCAACAGUCGAAAUUGAAUGAUAACUUAUCAUGCAAUCUAAACCAUUAAUUUCUAACCUAGGGUUCCAGAAUUAGUUUUAGAUUUUCAGUCUCGCUCUCAAAGUCUCAAAAUCCCACCUCUCCACCAUCCCUCGAACCCCUACUCUGACGACAUUCAAGAGAACGCCCAUCACCGCCGCCGCAACCUACUCAACGGCACCACCACCACCCAUCCAGCCAUCAUCCGACCUUGACGACAUUCGUUACUUCGCCGGCUACCGUAAGUCUACUUCUCCGAAUUUUAUUUUUGUUGAUGCGGAGGAUUUGAUGAAUGCAUGAAUAAUAGGAUUUGAUUAGAGCCUAAAUCUUUAGGUGGGAGUAAUUUGGUGAAUGCAUGAACAUUUGGGUGAAGGAAUUGUGGAUCUGUUUGGAUAAUUUCUAUGUAUGGCUUUUCCCUAGAAUUAAGGCAAGAUCUAUGAUGAUUUCUCAAGUCCGAUGAAACUCUUGUUGUUUCUCAUUCUCUCUAUUUUCGGUUUUAUUUGUCGUCCUCGGAACAUUUGGGUGAAAGACUUGAGAAGCUUCAAAUAAUCAAUGUGUUUUAGCGCUAAGUACCAUUUCUGUGUUUCGUAAGACUGGAGGUCAUUAGAUUGUCCCUCCAUGCGCUCUGAUCACUCUUCGCAAGAGAGGGCUUUCCUCUGCUUCAUUGUGAUGGUUGUAUAUAUGUAAAUUAUGCUUAUUCUAGUUUUCAGAUUUGACUAUGUGUGUGUGUUGUGUGUGUAUGACGCUUGCUGUUUUCUUGUGCACAACACUUGUAUUUUCAGGAUGUCUUUGUGUAUUACAUAUUCAGAUUCUGUUUUGUGGUCCUUAAAUGAGGUUUUGCUUUUCACUUUUCAGUCAAUGAGGAAGUUUCAAUAGUGUUGGCCAUUCUGUUAUAAAUAUAAUAAGUAGGUCGGAUCAGAUUUUAGAACCUCAAUAGGCUAAGCUUAAUUUGUAUAUGAAUAUUGCAGAGGGAGAAGGAAGGAUAAGUUGUGGGUUUGGUAUGCCAUGGUCGAUUUAUAUAGAGGUCCUUCUGUGGUUGGAAUUGAACAGGUGUAUUACUUAAUCAUCCAGUAACUAAUUUUGGAUAAUGGAUGUUGUAAAUUGAAGUUGAAACUUUUCAACUUGCUCCAUUUCCCUUUUUGUUUUGUGGAAAUAGAAUGCAAGUUGCUUUCCUUGUCUGCAAACAAGUAGCUCACCAUUACCUGCCUACUUCAAUACCAUUAUCGAAUAAUUCUAGAUAUUUCUGAGUUUUUUAUUUAUUUGUUUCAUUGAAUUUUGGGUACGAUUGUUGGAAAAUAAGUUUUUGAAGAGAGUGUUGGAAAAUAAUUAAAUUAGGACACUGUUUUUUUUUCGUAAGUUAGGAAGUUGGCUUGUUUUUACGUUAGAGCUUUUUUGAUAUUUUAUGUACAUGUGUUUAAGAGGUUGCAGUCUGUUGCAUACUUGCUCCUUGACUGUAUUUAAGCUUGCCUCAAUUGUAUCACUUUUUUUUUCAUGGUCACGAGUGCUCCUUAACAGCUCGGUACAAAGAUAUCAUAUCCCAAGUUGGACACAUAUCCGCUGGUGAUUCGUCACUUAUAACAGCUCGGUACAAAGUUUCACUACCCCUACCUGUAACAUACUUAUAGCUUGUAGUUGUACUUACACCCGUUGCUAUUUAUGAACUUUUGUUUAAUAAUCUGUGCAAGUGUUGCAAUAUUGCUGCAAUCUGUGGUUUACAGUAUGUGUAAAUUGCAAUAAUCUCCUAUAACCAACAUAAUCUGCAGCAGUGAUCUUCCUUUUAUCAAAAGCCAACUUUAUCCGCAAGAAUUGUUAAGGUUGAACAUGUGCAGUUGUGCACCAGAAGAUGGCUGCAAUAUAUUAUAUAUGUCUAAUAGCUUUACAUUUUUGUAGGAUGAAUAUUGGGCUCCUCAAGAUUUCAAGAGGCUAUUAUCGAACGAUGUUUGAAUUUGUGCCGGUGUAAUGGUUGGAAUGUAAUGUUUGAAACUGAAUUCGUGCUGCUGUAAUUGUUUUUUCCCAAACAAAAAAAAAACAACUGGGAACUGUGGACCCGACCCGUUUCAAACGGGCUCGGUUCAGUUCAAUUCCUGUAAUGAAAUAUGAUGUAUUCGGCCCGACCUGGCCCGUUUCGUUUAAACUCCGGUUCCUUCAAAAUUAGGUCCAGCCCGUGCCCAACCCUAAUCUCUACCACAAAAGCAUAAAGUGAUGACAUGAAAACUCUGAUUUCGUUUUCCUUGUAAACCAUUUGGUUCAUACCAUAAAUACGCCCUUGAGUUAACACACCCAUGAUGAUGAUUUAAGAGCUUGUUUUUCCUCACCCUUAUGUGGCAUGACUCACCUCCAUCUGCGGUUCUUGCUUCUUGCAUUCAAAUUUUCUUAGCUUAUUUGAUUUUCGAUUUUUAAAUUAGUGUACAUCAUGCCAUACAGGAUAGGUCCGCUAUCCUAACGUGUGGUUUUAUUUUUAUAUCUAACAUAUUUCUUUUGGUGUUUCAAAGCUUGUUUUGCAAGUUUAUACCUUUUAGAGGGGGUUAGGCUCUAUGUUACUUCCUUCUUUUUCUUGUAUUUCUCGUUUUGCUUUCAAGAAGGGUCAAGUUUAUGUCCCUCUUUUCGUUUUGCUACUUUUCAGCUUAAAAUGAACCAUGACUUUGUAAAUAAACAGACUUACCAAACACAAAUUUGACUCAAAAUUUUUUUAUCUGUGCUUUUAUAAUAAUUUGAGCAGUACCAAACCUCGCCUUAAUUGUUUUUUUUUUCAUGAAUUUAGCGUUUUUUUUAACAAACGAUAUUAUCUACACUAAAGGGGUGAGAGAUCGGGCUAAGCCUCACAAUGGGCUAGCAAUAAUGCGGUUCAAAUUCGUCAUUGACGAGAGUCAAACCUAAGACCUCCCACUUAGAAGUGAAGAGGAAUACCACUGGACCGUAACACUAAGUGACAUUUAUUGUAUUUUUAGUUUGCCUAGAUUACUCUUUGGUACAAUUAUUUUUGGGGUUCAAACAUAAAAGAAAUUGAAAAGCAUUAGGUUUUGCAUAUCAUAACUAAUGUCUGAGACCUAACAAAUCAAUAAUGCAAAAAUUAUCGGACAUAAUGAACUAAAACAUGAAAAUAACAUACCGCACCAAAUUUACCAAACCUAAUGAACUAAAACAUGAAAAAUACAAACUAUACCAAAUUAAUCGUACCAAAUCUACCAAACCUAAUGAACUAAAACAUAUAACAUAUGAACCCGUACCAAAUUGAUCGUACCGAAUUUACCAGACCUAAUGAACUAAACAUAAAACAUAUGAAUCGUACCAAAUUGAUUGUACCGAAUUUAUGGGACUUCAACUAUAUAAUGUACCUAAUUGAAAUCACAACAUAAUAGACCUUACUGAAACUUCGGACCUAAACUAGUAUGUACCUAAUUGUUAUUUACAACACAUAACCAAACGUACCUAAUCAACCAACAGAACCAAACAAUGAAAUUCCCCACAUAGGCCUUUCAGUAAACACAUGUAUGCAUUGGUAAGUAAUCAUGUCUAUGCUGUGCACUCCACACAAUAUCAUUAUGAAAGCUUUCAAAAGUAUGGCAAUGAAACUGGUUAUAAAAUAUUUCAAAUUUGAAUAAUUAUAAUAAAAAAAAAGGUACGUUAUAGACAAAAAAGAUGAUGUUCUUGUAGAAAAUGAAGAUGGAUAUUACGUUUAUGGGUGAUAGUGAAUCUACCGUUACAUUUGUGAACACGAAAAAUUCCUGAAACGAAAGAAACAAGAACACAAAAUAAUAUUUGUAUUUGAUGAUUUUGGGUUACAAUCUCUCUCUAAUUUGAUCCUCUGAUUCGAUCUCUGUAAGGUGUUGAUUUGUGGAUGUGCGAUUGAUCCAAAGGGCCGUUGGGCUUAAUCUAAGGAUGAACGUUCAUCAAGGGCCGUGGGCUUGAUCUUGAAGGUGGAUUUGAGCGGAUCUUCAAGGAGCCGUUGGGGCUUGAUCUUAAGGAUGAGCGUUUCUUCAAGGGCCGUUGAGGCUUGAUCUUGAAUAACAGUAGUGAACGGAUCUUCAAGGGCUUUUGAGCUUGAUCUUGAAGAACAAUGAUUGACGGAUCUUCAAGGGCUUUUGGGCUUGAUCUUGAAUAACGGUGAUGAACGGACCUUCAAGGGCUUUUGGGCUUUGAUCUUGAAGGACGAUUGGAUGUGUGGAUUUGUUGACGUUUGUUGAUCCAAAGAGGCCGUUGAGGCUUGAUCUUAGGAUGAACGGAUGAUGAACGAUGAACAUUUUCUUCAAGGGCCGUCGGGGCUUGAUCUUGAAUUGGUGGAAGUUCUUCAAGGGCCUUUGGGGCUUGAUCUUGAAUUGGUGGAAGUUCUUCAAAGGGCCGUCAGGGCUUGAUUUUGAAGGUGGAUGAUUGUUGAUCCAAGGGCCGUCGGGGCUUAAUCUUGGAAGAACGAAGAGGGCUUUCUUGAUUCUUCGGGAACCUGGAUGCUUGAGAGCUUCGGAGUUUCAGAGCUUCAGAGCUUUAGAGCUUUAAGGUUUUGGUGUAAUAUGAAUUGGUUAUGAAUUCCCCUCCCAAAUGAAUGCAUUGGCUUCCUAUUUAUAGAAUUUUCCAAGGCCUAAUUUUGAAUAUAAUAUGCAGAUGAAAUAAAUCGCUUCUGCCAGGUGUUGACAUGUGUCCUAUUUGAUGACUUUUUUGAUUUAUUUUGAUUUUUCGUUUAGUCACACGCUACGUGUAAAAUUUAUGUGACACGUGAGCGUUGAAAUUGUAACUAUUGGUCAACAUUUAUUUCACCGAAAUUUCGAUGUCUACAAAUGCCCCCACUUCAAGGCGCGUCGUAUACAUGUGUUUAUCACGUGUAGGAGAUACGUUUUGAAGUCCCUUAGUGUAGAUGUUGAUCCAAGGGCUGUUGAGGCUUGAUCUUGAAUUAGAAGAUUUCUUCAAGGGCCAUUGAGGCUUAAUUUUGAAUUGGGCUUGAGAUUUCUUCAAGGGCCGUUGAGGUUUGAUCUUGAAUUGGGCUUGAGAUUUCUUCAAGGGCUGUUGAGGCUUGAUCUUGAAUUUUGUUUGAAAUUUCUUCAAGGGUCGUUGAGGCUUGAUCUUGAAGGUUGAAAUUGGACCACAAGGAGCUUCAUGUGGUAGAUGAUCUUUGGCUUUGGUAGUGGAUGAAUUGGCAGGUAUUUGUUUUUGCGCUUGUUGACUUUCCACAGCUUAUUCUUGAACUGGAUUUGAUUCAAGGGUGGUGGACGCUUGAUCUUGAAUCAGACUUGUGAUUUCCUCAAGGACCGUCGAGGCUUGAUCUUGAAUUUGGCUGGAAGCUUCUUUAAGGGCCAUUGAGGCUUGAUUCUUGAAGGUUGACUCGAACACAUGGCAAGCAGGCACGAGGUGAAGGUGAUGACUUGUUGCUUUGUUCAAUCUUUCUAAUUUACACCUGAGCAGUUUGGUCAACGGUAUGAUCUUCAAUAUUGAUGGGCUCUUCUUCCAGUUGGUGACUUGAUCUUUAAGGAUUUGAUUCAAGGAUGGUGAAUUGGCACGUGCUUUGUUGUGCUUGUCUCCACAUGCUUCAAUGUAUCAUUUUCACUUCCCUUAUCUGUUCCCCAGGCAGAUGUGGUAGACGAAGAGGAAGCAUAAGAUGUUGAAGAUGAGUAUUCGAGAGCACGGCUAGGUAAGCAAUCAGGAAGGGGUUCCAGGCGGAUAUGGCAGCUUCUUGAGUUCCUCAACUCAGACUCUUUCUGCUGAGUUGACUGUGCGGGCUGCAUUCUUCUCUGCUUGUUUCUUCUGCACGUUGUUACCACAUGCUGCAAGGUAUCAUUUUCACUUGCCUUAUCUGUUAUCCAGGCAAAUGUGGCAUCUUCUUUGGAAGUACAUCAGCAGCUGAAGACGAGUACUCGAGAGCAAUACCAGGUAAGCAACCAGGCAAAGGUUCCAGGUAGUCGAUUCCUUACCCGAGUUUGAGUGGAGGUUCUGGCAUAUUGCUUUCUUUAUCCUUGUCUUUGCAGGUAAGAACAAAGACAAAGGAAAUGACAGGGGGAAAGCAUGAUAUGAGAUACUCUUGCUUUCUACCCUGGUGAUAUGAGAUACUUUUGCUUUGGUAUCAUUUGUUUGCAGAGGUAUUCUAGGAGAGGAAGAAAACUGGGUAUUUCGAGAGGCUCUGCUGGGAGUGUACUCUCGGAAAUGAGGAAUGGUUGGGCAUUUUUGCAGGUCUGCCUUGCUAUGGACGGUGAAUGUCGACAUAUAUAGGAAUUUCCCAACAGCCAGUAGUGGCACUAUUCCUUUACUCUUGUCGGCAACCGUUGGGUAAUUGAAACAGUCAGAUUCACGCGUUUUCAACUUUGUCAGAAAUCUUUGACAAAGUUGCGCAUGAUUUCCGCAAAGUUGAGGUUGCAUGUGAAGGAUGGCGACAAAUCCUGAAAAGCCGGUCUUUUUUUUGAAAUUUGGAGAGUGGUGACUUUUCGAUCUUUGAAUCGGUGGCCUUGUUGCCUCUUCGAUCUCUGAACAAACGGCCCAGCUUUUGAAAUUCGGGGAUAAGGGCCUCUUUGGUUUCUGAACGACCACAUUGCCUCUUCGAUUUUUGAACAGGCCAUGUUGCCUCUUCUUUUUAUAGAGGCAUGAAUCGUGUUCAAAAACACAUUUAGAGAGUUGCUACCUGUUAGGAAUUUCCCUCAUUUUGUAUUUUCUAAGAAUUCGACUUACACGACCUCUUCUUCUUUCAUCAUUUUUGCAAAUGGCUUGCCCUUCUGAUCGUCGUCUUGAUUUGAAUGUUGGGGAAAAUGUUGAUAUAUCUUCUCUAGACAACAUAUGGUGCCCGUCCUUCUUAUCUGCCACCGGUCCUCUUACAGUUGGGGACUCUAUGAUGAAGAAUGACAUAACCGCUACGGUGGUAGCUAGAAAUCUUCUCACCCCUAAGGACAAUAGGAUCCUUUCCAAGCGGUUUGAUGAGCUGGCUGUUCAGGACUCUCUGGCUUUCAAUGUUCAGUGUGCGGGCUCUGUAUCAAAUAUGGACCAACGCCUUCUUGCUCGAACUCGUCAAGUCGAGUCACUGAUGGCUGAGUGGCGAGUCUUAAGUAAGAGAUUAGAGGGAUUAAGCAUGAAAACAGAGAGAUGCACAUGCUUGCCAAUAGCUACUCAACGAGCAUGAAAAGAAAGCUCGACCAGCUAUAGGAAUCUGAAGGUCGGAUUCAAAGUGACCAUCGGACGUUUGUGACUUUACUCCAAAGGCAUCUACUGUCUUCGUCCUCUAGAGCUAUACCAAGUGUUAAGGCUGCAAAUAAUCAACUUCUGGUGCCUCCUCCUUCUGGAGCUCCGACGAGUACUGAGGCGCCAUCUGAUCAACCUUUAUGAAGGCUUCCUCCUAUUUGCUUUUUUUUUUUUCAUGUAAAAUGUACAUUUAUGUAAAUUUUGAGAGAAAUCAAUAAAUGAGGCUUCUUUCAUUCAAUGUAUAUAUAUAUUUUUUGGUCGGUGCGCUUGGCAUCAUCAUUAUUUUUCUUCUUUUUGCCAAUUUGCAUGUCUCCUUUUUUUGCUUUCUGCACGCCAUCAUCCCUAAACAAAUGAUGGCUGUCAUUUUCCUUCUUUUUAUUAUUUAUUUAUUUCUUUUGGAUGGUGCCUGAUGCACCAAAAGCUUUAUAACUUUUUUUUUUAUUCUUUUUUUUUUUUUUUUUUUUUGCAUGGUGCUGUCCAUCAAGGUUCCACCAUUUUUUUUUCUUCUUUCCAGAUUGGUUUGUCUCCUUUCUUUUUUAUUCUCUUAUAUAUAUAUAUAUAUUCCCCACAUGGUGCAGGCAAUGGGCAGAAGAUGGAGCAGAGGGAGUAUGCAGAGCACGACACGGACGGAUGCACAAGCAGCAACUGCCGAUGAUCCUAUUGCUCAGGGAAGGUCAUGAGUAUGGUGAUGAAGUUGGAGGCUAGAGAAUGAAGAGCAAGCUGUCCCAAGAUCACCCGGAGAUCACUAGAGCUCCGAUGAGAUCUGAUCUGGGGUCGAGGGAGAUCAUCUUAUUGCUGCCGUUAGCAUUGAUCAACGGUUGGUGCUGCAUCGACAUGUUGCUGCCAUCGGCUGAGCAGGGAAGAAGUAGAGUACCUCUCAAGCUUUCUUCAUGGGUCUCGGUGAAUAAUCUGGCAGAGAGAACUGUGUAUUGCAGUCACGGGAGAAUGAUGCAGAGGAGAACGAGGACGAGUCUGAUGAUGCAGCAGAAGCCAUGGAGUAGGAGUGUUCUGUAUUUGGAGGAGUUGAUAGAGGCAAGGAUUCUCAACAGCCUACAUGAAGCAAAAGCUUUGCCUUCGCUCCGGAAUCGCAACCUUGGAGUACCAUCCUUCAUAUAAUUUAUGGCUCGUUCCAUCGAAAUGGUACCCGCUAUGAAGAGUUCAAAUGUCUCGUUUCCGAGGGGUGAGGACGUAGACGGAGCUCGCGGUCGCUUUGUCCUGUUGAGUUGUGGAGCGGUUGUGGCGACGUUGUCGCUGUUACGAUGGCUACCCUUUGCUUGCUGCUGUGGAGAAAGUCUGAGCGUUGCAUGCUGCAAGGGAUGAGUCUUGGUGUUAGAGCUUGACGUGCUGGAGCUUGACGUCCCAGAUAAGCGUGGUUGAUUCGAGCAUCAAGCCCAACUCGACGAUCAAUGACGGGGAGCUAAAAACGAAGAUGAAGCAGCAGCUUGUUCCUCCAUUUGACCAUGAGGGUGACGUGUGAACGGGCUGAAGCAUGAGACCUCUAAUGCUAGGCCCACUUCGACCGAGUCAUCCAUCCUUCCCUUUGGUACGGUGAAGGUGGAGAUGCUGGCGUUAGGUAGAAGGAGAGAUAGAUAGAGCUUGGGUCGCAGGGAGAAAAUUUGAAGCUCUGAGGUAUUGAAGAUGAUGACAGGGCCUGUGGCUUGAGGUGUAUGCGAACCAAGAGAGAAUUGGACUUGGGCUUUUGGGAGUUUGUAAGCUGAAGAGGAAGUGAGCUGUUGGGGAUGAAAAUGGUACUGUGCUCCAGAUGUGGGGUCCAAGAGAGGAAUGAGAGGUCUUGACAACUCGACGUGCACUCUAUGGCCCAUUUCAGUGCCUCAGCUGCUAUGGUUCGAAUGGGCUUCAUGCUGGGCCUGAUUCUCGGGUUAGGCGUUGAAGAAGAUUUUAAAUAAGGAUGGGAAAGGAGCAGAAGCAAGAUUGAUUCUUUUGGACCUCACAGAGACAGCAUCGUAGAGGCUAUGCCUUCUUCACGUGAAGCUCAAGCAGCAAUGCAAAUGAUAGCAACUGCUACAUAUAUAUAUAUAUAUAUAUAUAUAUAUAUAUAUAUAUAUAUUUUAAGAAACUGUAUUUUUUUUACAAAGAAAUUGUAAUAAAAUUGACUUUCAUCAAUCAAACCUUUAAUCAAACAUUUUUUUUUUAUUUUGAUGUGAUUGAACUCGAAAUUGAAUGCUCGAGCUACCUACGUCCCUUCCAAAAAAAGAGAUCAAGUCAAAACGUAGUUCAAAUGCUUUUUUUUUUUGGUGCCGUACGCAGUUUAUGCUCUUGCCGGCCAAGAGCGUUUGGUGCCAUUUGCAGUUUCCGCUCAUGCCGGCAAGGAGCUUUUGGUGUUGCCUUUUAUGCUCUUACAGACCAGGAGCUUAGUGCCAUGCAGUUUAGGCUCGUACGAGCGAUGAGCCUUGUUAGUUCGUUAAGCAAUCCGGGAGAGUCGUUCCUCGCAAUCUUCAUAGCAAUGAGCCUUGACUGAGUAGUUGAAGAAGUCUUCUGGGAAGAUGUCAUGCAUCGUGAUGGGGAUGGAUGAUCUUCAUGUCAAAGUUUCAUUAUCUCCAACACUUUCACAUUGUUCUGAAGUUUGACAAGAGCUGUUUUGCCCUCUUUCCCAUUGGUGAACUUGUGGAAGAGAUGGUUGCUUCCUGGAGAGGCGUUCAUCGCAAUCUUUAUAGCAAGGAGCCUUGACCGAGUAGCUGAAUAAUUUUCUGAGGAAAAAGUGAUCGCGCAUGGUCAAUCUUUGUGUCGAAAUUUCCUCAUCUUCAACACUUUCACAUCGCUUUGAAGAUUGGCAAAAGCUGCUUUGCCCCCUUUUCGAUUGGUGCACUUAUGGAGAAGACAUAUGCUUCGUGUGCAGUUUCUUCGGAAUGACAUGAGUCUAUCCUUCAACUUCACUCGGUUUGACUGGCAUGGUUUUGGAGCAUGCUCCCAGCGAUUGAGAUGAAGAUUUUAAGUUGACAGAGCCAGAAGUGACGUCUUCUUCCAGGAUUUCGUCUUCUUUGUCUUCUUGGGCCUCCUAUGUAGUGAUGUCAUUUUGGGUUUGUUAGUAUGAAGAUUGGCCGGUGUAGAUAAUGGUGCGCCUCCUUACCUUCAGUGGUUCUUUUAUGUCGACUUCCAAAGUUGCUUGGCGCUUCAUCCUUGAAGGAAUCAAGCUUUGAACAUCGUCUUUUCCUGCUAGGUUGUCGAGCUUUUCUCCCUUUGGCGUUGUCUUUCUGUUUCUAGAAGGCUUCUUAGUUUCUUCAAGUCUGUCCAAAGCCGACCGUUGCGGAGGAGAUCUAGCUGUGCCGCUUUGUUUUUUGGGUUUUGAUAACUUUUCAAAGACAGAUCUUUACGGUGUUGGCGUCUUAAGCCUUUUGAAGACGGAAGUUCGGCCUCGACCACUGAUGCGAUCAAGUGCCGAAAUUCUAGGUUUUGAAUGAUUCAGCCUUUCGAAGACUGAAGUUCGAAUGGCAGGUUUAGGCUCCACUUUUGGCCUUGUGGCUUGUGGUCUUGGCUUCCUUAUUUUUCUGUAGGUCGUCGAUGUCCACCCUUUCUUAUCACCAGUAGAUGCAUCUUGGUUGCUUACCCCUAGUGAUGGUUGUGUAGGAGGUGCCGUGUGACUUGAACAUUAACGGGAAUGGUCAUGCAUGCUUCGGAGAUGCACAGGAUCGAGUGAUCCAAACACGAUAGUAGUAGUGUGUGCCGCAACCGUGUCUUCGAGGUCAAGCUCGAUUUUCCCUUGUUGUGCUAGCUUCAGGAUGAGAUCUUUCAGUACAAAACACUUUUCCGUUGGAUGACUGAUGAAACGAUGGAAUUUACAGUACCUUGGACUAUCGGUAUGAUUCAUCUCUUCUGGCCGUCUACACUCAAGCAAACUGAUCACCUUCUUUUCCAACAAGUCUUCUAACAUGGCAGCCACAUCAGAGUCGGGGAAUGGAUAAGUUUUCUCUUCAAGCUCCUUCAAAGUGCGUCUACGCAUCUCUUGAUCACGAAAAGCUUCGGUUUGAAUCGCCUUGCCUCAUGUAGAGACUUUGAUGGGAGUUGUGUUGACCGUCAUGGCAUCUUCAGGGCAUUAAUCUUAUUGAAGUAGGGCUUCGAGUAGAACAAUGAUGUAUGUGAGCUCCCUUUGUACUGUGCUUUGAUGGUGUUGGUGAUCAUCUCUUGCAGCUGCUGGAUAGAAAGAGAUCCCAUGAGUGCCGCUGCUUGGUCUGGCUCCGGCUUCACAUCGAUCUCCUCCACCGGAGGCUCCUCUUCUUCGCCAGCUCCUCUCUUUAGUGGAUCAUCCUCUGGGUCGAGGUUCUCGCUGUUCUGUGGCUCCAGUCGGUUGACGAGUGCAGCGAUUUGCAAGUCUUUUUCUUCCACAAUCCGUGUUAGCCUUGCGAUCGCUUCAUUCAUUUGAGCCAGUUGUUCUUCAAUUGAGGUAACGCUGAUGGUCAUGACUUAUACAACCAAUAGACAUGACUUUCCUUUAAACAUCCAGAAUGCUAACGAAGAGCGUCGUUGGCUACUUUGGGAUGUCAUCUUGUGUGCCUCAGCAGCAUGCUUCCAUGCCCCUAGCGAGGUCAGGUUGAUGACAAACUCGCGCCUUUGAUGCUCCCCUUGCUCCUUUAGCAGCACCAACUUUGAAGUGGCAUGUUAAGGAGCGGUUGUGGCGCCAAUGGAUUGUCCGUUCGCGGCAGAAGUGCUCAAGAUCCUUCCCUUAGUGGUUGCGAGAACAGCUUGUCCCUUACUUGAUGCCAUUGACUUUGAGGCGUGUUUGGAUUCCUUGAACGAAGAAAGAGAUAAGAGGUAGAUAUGGUCCCACUGGGCGUGCCAAAUUUGUGAACACGAAAAAUUCCUGAAACGAAAGAAACAAGAACACGUGCACAAAAUAAUAUUUGUAUUUGAUGAUUUUGGGUUACAAUCUCUCUCUAAUUUGAUCCUCUGAUUCGAUCUCCGUAAGGUGUUCAUUUGUGGAUGUGCGAUUGAUCCAAAUGGCCGUUGGGCUUGAUCUAAGGAUGAACGUUCUUCAAUGGCCGUUGGCUUGAUCUUGAAGGUGGAUUUGUGCGGAUCUUCAAGGAGCCAUUGGGGCUUGAUCUUAAGGAUGAGCGUUUCUUCAAGGGCCGUUGAGGCUUGAUCUUGAAUAACGGUGAUGAACGGAUCUUCAAGGGCUUUUGGGCUUGAUCUUGAAGAACAAUGAUUGACGGAUCUUCAAGGGCUUUUGGGCUUGAUCUUGAAUAACGGUGAUGAACGGACCUUCAAAGGCUUUUGGGCUUUGAUCUUGAAGGACGGUUGGAUGUGUGGAUUUGUCGACGUUUGUUGAUCCAAAGGGGCCGUUGGGGCUUGAUCUUAGGAUGAACGGAUGAUGAACGAUGAACACUUUCUUCAAGGGCCGUCGGGGCUUGAUCUUGAAUUGGUGGAAGUUCUUCAAGGGCCUUUGGGGCUUGAUCUUGAAUUGGUGGAAGUUCUUCAAAGGGCCGUCGGGGCUUAAUUUUGAAGGUAGAUGAUUGUUGAUCCAAGGGCCGUCAGGGCUUGAUCUUGGAAGAACGAAUAGGGCUUUCUUGAUUCUUCGAGAACCUGGAUGCUUGAGAGCUUCGGAGUUUCAGAGCUUCAGAGCUUCAGAGCUUCAGAGCUUCAAGGUUUUGGUGUAAUAUGAAUUGGUUAUGAAUUCCCCUCCCAAAUGAAUGCAUUGGCUUCCUAUUUAUAGAAUUUUCCAAGGCCUAAUUUUGAAUAUAAUAUGCAGAUGAAAUAAAUCAUUUCUGCCAGGUGUUGACAUGUGUCCUAUUUGAUGACUUUUUUGAUUUAUUUUGAUUUUUUAUUUAGUCACACGCUACGUGUAAAAUUUAUGUGACACGUGAGCGUUGAAAUUGUAACUAUUGGUCAACAUUUAUUUCACCGAAAUUUCGAUGUCUACAACAUUUUUAAAAACUUUGAUGGUGGAGGUUACAUUGCAAACAAUGAAUAUGGCAUUCUUAGCAGUAAAAUCUGUGGUUUUGUUAUAAGUAACAUGUUAUGUUGCAUUAAAAUAAAACCCAUAUUUUCCAUCCAUAGUGUAAAUAUUAGUAAUAUCAUCUCAUUAAAGCCUUUAUCUCUAAAAGCCUUAUUUUACAUAUUGUAUAUUGCAUAUACUGUUCAAUAUAUAUAUAUAUAGCAUGUUCAUGCACACACAAUUGAUAUGUCCAAAUUUCGAAUAUGCAAGUUAUGUUAUAAUAUGCUACAUUGUUAUGUUGAAUUGUGUGAGUCAAAGGAAAACAAACAAAAAAAAUAGAAACACGAACUAGGGUUUUAAAACCCUAAAUCGAAGAAAAUAAUGAGAAAAUUGUGGGAAGGGUUCCUCAACUUUAAUUCAAUUGGAGUAAUGGUUCUUCAACUAAAAUCCAUAACCAUUGGUCCCUUAACUCAUCAAAAAAUACAGCUAUGAUCAUUUUCAUCAACUCCAUCAAAAUUCCGUUAAAAUGAGUUAUAAGGACUAUGCUAUAAUUAGAUUGAAGUUGAGGGAUCACUGUUCCAAUUAGGUUAAAGUAUGUAUCAUUUCUCCAAUUAAGUUGAAGUUAAGGGACUAUUGCUACAAUUUUUCUCAUUUGGUUUUACAUAUUUGUCUCUUGAUUCAGCCUUACAUGCAUAUCACUUGACUCAUUUUUCACAGAACUUCUAACGAAGAUGAAAAUGACCAUAGUUGUAUGUUUUGAUAAGUUAAGGGACUAGUGGUCAUGAAUUUUUAGUUGAUGAAUCACUACUGCAAUUAUAUUAAAGAUGAAAGACUAUUGUUAUAAUUUCCUCAAAAAACAUUAAAAAAAAGAGAAAAUCGCAGCUGAGCCGUGGCUUGAAUAUGCACCAUCCGUGCCACAACGUCGAGCCGAGCCUGCACUCUAGCCUAUGCUCCAAAACGGCACCCUGCAGCCCCAUGGGCUUGCUAAACUCACUGAACCUAAAUCCAGUUUUUUUGGGCUUCUUCUCCCUGCCAGGCCUGCUGCUGACACCUCGCUCGGGUCAACCCAGCUAUGCUGGGCUUCAGCUCCUGCUGGGCUGCCUUCUUCUCGGCUCAAGGCCCGCGCAGGGCCCCCUUUUUUAACUGCAAAGCCAGCAGCAUGGGUGUUCCAUUUCUCCGGCCAGGCCAAAUUUUUGGCCUGUUCUGCUUCCAGCCUGGAACCGACUAAGUUGGGGUGCCCACGGCUAAGCUCAUUUUUGAGCUCUAUUUCUCACUAAUUUGGCCCGCAAUCAUUCAAACCCAAUAUAACCCGAACAUCUAUGAAUUUGAUAUGAUAUUCAAUCAUAAACUAAGUAAAAAGAAUUUGAUAUGAUAUUCAAUCAUAAACUAAGUAAACUUAUCAUAAACUAAGUAUAAAAGUAAUCGAAUGCUGUUUCAUUUAUUAAGAUUAAAAUCAAAUACAAUAUUACACUUGAAUCAUAACUCCAAAUUGCGAAUAAAAAUUGCUUCUAUAUGAGCAAAAGAAAAAAUCAAAAGCCACACCACUGAAUAAAUAGAAAAAAAAGGAGAGGACACAACAUUUGUUUCCCCACUGCUUAGCAUGCAGAAUCAUAUAUAGAUCGAUGGUUUUAGUUAUAGGCAUCAGGGUUGGCCACAAGGUAGUUCUCAAUGAGCUUGAACAAACCAUGGGCCCUUUCUUUCCCAGCCUUAACAUGCUCUUCUUUGAUCUCAACAUCUCCCUUAGUGUGGUAAUGGCUGGUGCUCUUGAUGACAGAACCGCUGCCGGAAGCCACCAACUUAGUCUCAUAAGAGAUCUUCUCAAUCUUGUCAGAAAUGACAUCUCCUUCAAUCAAACUGUACUUGUAGACAAAGUUAUCUUUGUCAAUUCCAUCAACCUUGUGCUUCACAUAGCUGUAUUCACUUCCUUCACCAAAGCUAAUCUUCUUGAUGGUUCCAACACCUCCAUCUCCCUCAAGAAUUUCAGCAGUUUUAACUGCUUGUGGAGCAAUCUUUGGGAUGAGGUUGUCAGCAUCAAGAACAAGAGCAUUGUACAACCUAGCAGGAGUGCAGACUGAGGCGAAUUCAGUUUCAUAUGUGAAGACACCCAUGGUGAUGAUUGAGAGCUUAGAAAAUAAUCAAAAUAAGAAUGAAAUGUGAAGGAAGAAAAGAGAAAUUGAUAAGGAAGGUAUUUGAUGGUGGAAGAUAUGGAGGUGGUAUUUAUAGGUUAUUGGUGAGGGGCUGUUGUGUAAUAUGGACCCCUAUGGAUAGAGAAAUUUGGACAGUAUUUAGUUUCCCAUUGGUGGUUGUUUCCAAUGUGAACAUUUUAGUCAAAGAUAGGCACCUCUAGAAGGUUAUUUUGUAUAUUCCAACUUAAUAUUACAGCAGAGCUGGUGUGCUAGGUCUGCUGUCUACUAAUUCAAUAAUAUCUUUAUGGACUCGAAUAAAUCUAAGUUGCCUUUUUUAUUCAUUACUUAUCUGAACUCUUUGAUCAGCAUAAGGACUCCUAUGAAACUACAAUGUUACUCGUUCCCUAGCGUUUUAAUGCGAAUAUCGUCACAUUAAUGUAUUUAAGCUUUGACAUAAUAUUUGAGCGGUUUGUUUGAAUGAGCCUAAAUAGUGAUAAGCAACCAGUCGAGUUAAUUUUUGUACGUUAUUUAAUCGACUCUAUGCCACGAAUUUAGUUCCAUUGUACACAUGCAUGCUUGUUUGUUCUUAUUUGUCACAUCAAAUGAUACCUUAAUGUAGUCAAAUAUGUGCUCUCUCUAGUAUUUUCCAUCUACUAAAGGUAAUGAUCUCACUUUUAACUCUACAGGUAUAUAUGGACUUCAUAUAGCAGUAAAAAGUAACAGUACUCUUUCAAUGCAUUAGAAAUUAUAUGACUUUUGACUGAAUUUUCUGAUGCAUAGGAGAUAGCUUAAAUCUAAAGGAGGAGGAAAAAAAGACAUCAUAUCUUUUCCCCGGCGAAUCCAACCCGACUCAUUUCUUCUCCCAAAUCCUAACCUCAUUCUUCUCCAACAAGCCCACCCCCAAAGUCUCUUUUCUCUCGCGACGCCACCUAAAAUCGUUCUCUUCGACAACGGCGUCGGUUCGAAGAUGAACAAUCAUGGAAGAGGAAAGAAUGACAGAGCUAUGAGAGAAAUGGAGUCAGAUGUUUGGUUAUAGAAAUAGUGUGUAUAUCAGAUUAUUUUAAAUUGACACAUGUUUGUAUCUUGUUGGGCCACUUAAGAGAGCGAGUAAAUUGGACACUCCCCGGUUAGUAUCCAAAUAUUAUACUAUUAGUAAUUAGUUUUAUAGCAAAACUUUAAGUUCUUUCACUAUUUACAUUUUGAAAAGAUUUACAUGUAGUUUUACUCUGAAGAAUAGAUGCAAAUUUAAAUUUGGGCUCACCAUCACUUGAUUAUCCCUUUUCAAGAUAUAAUAAAGAAAGGGUUUUUAUGGCAAAUUAUUUUUGAAAUUGAAAAUCAAUUAAUAUAGUUCAUGAAAAUAGGUAUUGCAAAUCAAUGUGGUAUUUCUAUCAUAAUUCUAUUAAAAAUUCUGUUAAGUGUUGAUGUAGUACAUAAAUGGGUCCCAUAAGUCUUUUUUUCUUCUCAUAAAUGGUCCUUGAAAUUGACCCGCGACAUCAAAAUGGUCCCUAAAAUUGACCUGCAACCUCAAAAAGGUCUCUGAAAUUGAAAAUCGAUCAAUGUAGUCCCUUAAGUGUCCCAAAUGACACACCCCGUCCCGAAGGAGGGCGUGCUGGCCGUCACGUGAGAGUGACGUAACCAUUUACACAGUUCGGAAGCUUUAAAAAAAAUUCCAAUUACUAAGAUAACACACCCGAGGGUGAGUCCUACUUUUGUGAAUUCUGUCAGAACACCGUUGGAUUCCUCGUGGCCACCAAAGCUCUGCUAACUUGAACCUGGAGGGGCGCAAAACAAAAUUGAGUGGGUCAGUAAAACAAAGUUUUUCGAAGACUUUUCAUUUAAAACAUUUAUAACCCCUCACCGUAAAACCUGUAUACUUUCCCAGAAAAUAGCAUAUAUAUAACAUAUAUAUAAGCAAAAAGCUCAAAUCUCAAACCUUUAACACUUUUCAGAAAUAUAUAUAUAUAUAUAUAUAUAGAUAUAUAACCAUAUGAAAUCUCAAAGCUUGAAUCCCAAAUCUUUAACAUUUUUCAAGAAAAACAUGUCAUGCCAUAAAUCAAAAUAUAAAUCAGGUGAAAUAAGGAAUCAAUCGGAGACCCUGCAGUUGGUCCUAUACGAUUAAUUCAAUAGCUCAAUAUCUCACUAAGCCGGAGUCACCACAGUGACCUAUACGGCCCUACUCUGCACAUCACUCGGAACUACGUAAGGUAGUCUAUACGAUGAAAGGUGUAAAAUACGCUCUAGUGCUUCUCUCAUCAUAUCAUCAGCGCGCAUAUCUAAGGUCACCCACCAGUCGGAACCCCUCUAAUGGUCUGUACGACUGGCAUGUCGGAACCCUCACAUGGUCUGUACGACAUCCACCUACUUGGAUCCAAGGCGAGCGUGCGGUGUGGUGAAUAAUAUAAGCACUAACACCUAGGGUGCAGAUUAUGAGCUCAAACAUCUCAACAACAACAAUUCAAUGAAUAAACGAACUCACCUGACUUGCCUGUGCCUCCACAGCACCAUGCAACAUGUAUGCAUCAUAUAUCAAUCAUAUAACUCAUAUGAAAUUCACAUUUUCCAAAUAAUUCUAUGCAUGGCAUUUUCAAAACAUAAUUUCGCAUAAAAGCAUUUUUUCUGGGAAAAAACAAUAGUAUAUAGGUAAUACGAAAACAAAACUGCCCACUCACCUGGAGUUCGCCCACAACUCCCUAGCACCGUACAUCAAGGCGUCAUGACGAUUAGCGCCUAGAACAACAAUCAAAUCCAACCUCAGAAAUUCUGCCGAUAGAAUACAUAACUAUAUAAGACACGUCACUACGUAGUUCGAUCCGGAUGAUCUGCAAUUCAGAUUUCAAAUCCGUAACUUCCAGAGGUCCACAAUAUACCUCUAGGACAACAUCCUAAAAUUUCAUUACCAUCCAACGGUCGGAUCUUCGUCAAUUUCCAAAACUAAGUGACGGUUAACAUUCUAUUUUAUGAACUUACAACUUCAAUUCCAGAAGAUCCGUAAAUCGGAUUCCCAAUCCGUAAGUUCCUAUAAUCCUCAAAUAUUACGUAUUACAACGUAUCAAAGUUUGAUGAUGAUCCAACGGUCGGAUCGUCAAUUCACAUUUUCAUCUAACCACGAAUCGUAACCAACUUAGGUUCAAUUAUUCAAUUUACGUCCAUCAAUUAUCAAAACAGAACCUAGAACCUUAAUCACAAGCUAAUAAUGACAUUGGCGGGCCAUUGGCCACGCGCCGCCGCGGGUGGCGGUUGGCCGCCCCCGGCUCGCCGGAAAAUUCAACUAUUUCAAAAAAUUACCAAAAUUUGCAGAUUUGAAGAUCUCAAUGAGUAGAACAACUUUCAUACCUGAGACCAAGGCCAAUUUGGCCUGGAAGUGCUUCAAUUUCACCAAAACCGUGAAGAACCCUAGAAUUUGGGUGUUUCCAAUUCGACCUUCAAACUUGUUCCAACGCCUCAAUUACCUCUUGGGCUUUGUUCUAGGUCCUAAAGGAAUGCUAAAGGUGUUAGUAAUUGAAAGAAAACAUUUCAAAAUUUGGAGAAUUUAAACAAAAGGGUCGCGGCACCCGUAGGGGGUGUUCUUCGCGAAAUCACAACGAAAUUCAAUGAUUCUUGGGGUGAAACGUAAAGAGGGAAGGCCUAGAUGAUGAUUAGGAGUGGUACCUUGACUCAAUUCGUCGGAAAUUUGGACGAAAUCCAUCGAAUUUGGGCGUGGGCACCGCCGGGUCGAAAACGACCCACGGGUUCUCCCCAACCCAUUUCCUCUUUUCCUCCGCUUCUCACCCUCUCUCCCUUCCUCCUUUCCCUGUUCCGAUUGGUCAGUUUCUUCCCCUCUCUGCCUCUGAUUCGCUCUCUCUCCUUCUUCUCCGAUUGGGCAGUUUUUGCCCAAUCUCUCUUCCUCUUUUCUGUUUUCUGGUUCUUCCCACGCACACACCCACACAAAACUUUCAUUUUUCUCAUCCCAGCCAUCCAUUUCAAAAUCCUUUAAUCUGGGCCAUCCAAAUUUUAAUAAAAGAAUUUCUAUAUUUUACUAAAAUUAUAAUUCCUUAAAAUUCCAAAUUUCAAACGUUAAUAACUUCUUCGAUAUAACUCCAAAUCACGAACCGUCUGCGCCCACGCGUCCGUAACGACGAGUACUACGAGGAUAUGUCAAGAAAACAAAUCUUAGAUGGCCCGACACAACGAUUAACCUCGAAUGAUGUGCGUGCCUCAAAGGGCAUUUUUGUAAAAUCCUUUAUUAAAACUUUAAAAAUUCUUAAAAUUAGGGACGGGCUGUCACACCAAAUCCAUGUAGUCCUUACAUCACAAUUCUGUCAAAAAUUUUGUUAUGUGCUAAUGUGACACAUAAAUGAAUCACACAAGUCUAAUUAAAUUAAAAAAAAAAUAUAUAUAUAUAUAGGUUUAAUAAUUUAAUAGUAAUAAAAAGUUGUGAACCCAAAAAUCCAAUCCUGCAAUCAUCUCCGAUCUCAGUCCACAUUCCUCUACCUCCACUUAUCUUUACGCACUUCGACACCCUUCACCGAAUUAAACCUGGAUUGAGAUCACCUUUGAUGAUGGCUUGGCUAAUUGGCAAUGACUUAUGGGACAUCACUGUUAAUAUUUAGGCGAUCAACUUCCUCACAACCUUAAUCUUGGAAAGCUUAUUCGACGCUUUCCUGGUGGUCUGGUGACUCAAAGAAUGGUGAGGUUUGCCUUGAGAUAAUGAGGUUAUAACCAAGGUGCAUCUAUUAUUGGUUGAAAACUAUUUCCAAACCCCCUCUUAGGCCUUGGUUAAGGUGCCUUUGAGAAUUUAUGGAAUAGAUCACUCUUCGGAGUAGGUCCUACUAUAAAAAAAUAAUAUAAAAAAAAUUCUAUUGUGCAAACAAGUAUUCAAACAAUUUUUUUUUAUUAAUUAUUAAACUCACAUAAGCACGUAACAAAAGAAUUGUGGCGGAAUGAUCAUAUUGAUUUGUGACAAGGGCUACAUUAAUCAAUUUUCAAUUUUUGGAACCAUCUUGAUGGUGUGGGUCAAUUUCAUGGACCAUUUGUGAUAAAAACCCAAAAAGAAAUAAACUUAUCUUCUAACUAAAAUGGUAUUUGACGUGGCUUUAAAUUUGCUCAUUGAAGAAUUUUUCGAUCAAUAUUAUACAUCUCCGUAUACACCUCCGACUAAAGAUGCCCCAAGGGAGGAGAAUUCAAAUUUACUGACGUUUUUUUUUCUUUUUGUUCAAAAGAAGCUCAAAACUUUAAGGAGGACAACUUGUUCAAAGUAUUUCUGAAAGGUUCAUGUGGAUCAUAAUUCGUGCCAUUUGCAAGUUACAGGUCAGAACCAAGACUUUCAUAAUAUUUCAUGAAGAGUAUAACAAAAUAUUAAUAUCUUUUAAUUUUAUUCCAACUGAAACGUCUUAUUACUAUUUUUUUAUAAAUCAAAACGAAGCCAAAACAAAACAUUUGGAACACAAACCACAAAUAUGAACAAGUUUAAUUUAGUUGUAGGAAUCAGGAUUAGCCAUUAUGGAAACGAUCAAAGAGUUCUAAGGAAAUAUGAAGAAAAUUGUUGAUCUACAAUAUUCAGGUUUUGACUUGGAGUGAAAGGGAAUGCUGAUGUGAAUAGCUAUGCUUGUAUCAACCAGUUUAUGCAAGUUGGUACUGUACAUUUCUAUUGUUGUCCGUACUGCCUUGCGACUAGUAUAAGCACUUCCAGAAGUUCAAUUUAGGAAUGACUUGACCUGCAAUUCAACAUUGGCUGCAAUGCGUCGGCUUUUGAUUGGCCGUUAUUUUUCAUUGGCUUUUCACAUCCAAAUUGGAAUAUUCUAGGAAUUAUUAUUGGCACUCCAAAAAUCUCAUUUUUCACUUCAAACUUUUUAUAAUUAUUAAGAAAAUUACACUUAUAAGAGUGUAUUAUGAGAUUUUAGAAGUACUAAUAACAGUUUCCUAUUUGAUUGUAACAAAUAUUAUCCAAAUACACAGUCCUACUCUAUUAUCUUCUUCAGAUGCCCAUAUGUCUGCAACCCGUGACUAUGCCCGUUGUGAAAGUAUAUAAAGUAUUAAUAGAGAGGAUGAUUAGAAAUGCUCCAACAAUACGUAACAAAAAGUAUUAAAAAUUCCCGUAAAUAUAACAGCGCAAGGCACACAAAGUUUUAAGUUGUAAGAGAAUAUGACUUCUAAAGAUCUAAUGAUAUUUCUUUUUACUUGUAAAUAAAAAAUUUUAGAUUUACACGUGUGGAUGACAAGUUUAAUAUCCAUUUAUCUUCCACAUCCCUUAAUAUAAAAAUAUAUCUUUGUUUUUAAAAAAAUGAUGUGUGAUCUCUAGAGAACUAAUUGGUAAGCACAAGAAAAAAUUGUGGUUAGUCCACCUCGUGGAGUAAUUGGCCAUUUCUUAUUCAAUUUCCAGAUGGUCUUUUCUUGAUUACAUUACAAAUUUUCCUUGUACAAAAGUAAUGGUUCCCACGUCCACGAUGAAUAAAACCCAUUAAACAAUUAGGAGCUUGCGUAUACCUUUUGAUCCACCUUCUGCCUCAGCCUAUAAAUACCAAUACAUCCUCCUCACUUCUUCACAACUCAAAAUCUCCCAAUACAUCAUCUUUCUUUCUUAGUCUUCCUCUUCGUCGGUUAUUUUCCCACUUCACAAACACAUCUCAGAAUCAUGGGAGUUUUCACAUACAAAUCCGAGUUCACCUCCGUCAUCCCCCCCGCUAGGUUGUACAAUGCCUUUGUUCUUGAUGCUGACAACCUCAUCCCCAAGAUUGCACCACAUGCAGUGAAGAGCACUGAGAUCCUUGAAGGAGAUGGCGGAGUUGGAACCAUUAAGAAGAUCAACUUCGGUGAAGGUAGCACAUACAACUAUGUCAAGCACAGAAUCGAUGGAGUUGACAAGGACAACUUUGUGUAUAAAUACAGUGUGAUUGAGGGAGAUGCUAUCUCCGAAACAAUUGAGAAAAUUUGUUACGAGACUAAGUUGGUGGCUUCCGGUAGCGGUUGCGUCAUCAAGAGCACUAGCCACUAUCACACCAAGGGAGAUGUUGAGAUCAAGGAAGAGCAUGUUAAGGCUGGCAAAGAGAAGGCCUCCCACCUCUUCAAGCUGAUUGAGAACUACCUCUUGGAGCACCAGGAUGCCUACAACUAAACAUUGUCUGCUGCUGCAUUCAUGUGUUAUUCAAUCUCGUGUCAUCUUUUCCAUCAAAUAUUGGUGUGGUUUUAAUCCAUUUUUAUAUAUAUUUUUCCCUUCUAAAACAGUGUGUGGCUUGUACGUGAUUGAAGGUUUUGAUUGCAGAGUGAAUGUUGUAUUUAAACUAAAAAUUAAUGGAUCUGAUUAUUCCUGCAAGGUUUUUAUUUUAUUUUUAUUUUUUUAAUGCAAAUUUGUAGUUACUAAUGUUAAGUUCCAGUUUCCUAACUACUUUACUUAACAUAUGAGAAGCGACAUUUCAAUUACCAGCAACUCAUAAUAAUUGAAUAACAUUUGAAUCUCUCCCUCAUAAUAGCCUAAAGUGAUGAAAUGAAAACCCUGAUUUCGUUUUCCUUGUAAACCAUUUUGUAAUUCAUACCAUAAAUACGCUCAUGGGUUAGAAAUAAUAUGGUUCAAAUUCGCAUUUGAGCGAAAAUUGAACAUAAGACAUCUCACUUACAAGUGAAGAUGAACAACACUAGACCAUAAUACUAAGUGACAUUUAUUGUAUUUUUAGUUUGCCUAUAUUACUCUUAGGUACAUGAUUUUAAGGGUUCAAACAUAAAAAUAAAAAAAUUGAAAAGCAUUAGGUUUUGCAAAUCAUAAUUAAUGUUUGAUGCCUAACGAAUCAAUAAUGCAAAAUUAUCGAACCUAAUGGACUAAAACAUAAAAAUUACAAACCACUCAAAAUUGACCAUCUCAAAUUUACCAAACCUAAUGAACUAAAACAAGAAAAAUAAAAACCGUACCAAAUCUACCGGACCUAAUGAAUUAAAAUAUAAAAAAUACAAAUCAUACCAAAUUGAUCGUACCGAAUAUACCAGGCCUAAUGACCUAAAAUAUAAAGCAUAUGAAUCGUACUAAAUUGAUCGUACUGAAUAUAUGGGACCUAAACAAUAUAACGUACCUAAUUGAAAUCACAUAAUCAAAAUUUUGGAAACUUCAGACGUAAACUAGUACCUAAUUUUUAACAAAAACUAACAACGUCCUAACAAUGAGAAUUUGUUCCCCACAUAGGCCUUCAUAACACAUGGUAUGCGGAGUAAUCAUGUUUCUGCAACAAAUGGUUUAAAUUAGUGCAUUCUCUCCACACAAUAUCAUUAUGAGAGCUUUCAAAAGUAUGGCAAUGGAACUGGUUAUAAAAUAUAGACAAAAAAGAUGAUAUCUUGUAGAAAAUGAAGAUGGAUGUUAUGUUUUAUGGGUGAUAGUGAAUUACGGGUUACAUUUUUCAAAGGUGGUUAUGUUGGAAUGAACGUGCAUAUGAAAGAUGUUGUAAAUAAUAUGUGUAUGUUUUAUAAGUGUCAUUUUUUUGAUUAUAAAGCCCAUAUUUUACAUAGUUGUAAUAGUAAAAAAUCCGAUCCUUAUUCUAAAACAAUAUUGUAUAAUAUACUGUUCAAUAUAUAUAGCAUGUUCAUGCACACAAAUUGAUAUGCCCAAAUUUUAAAUAUGCAAGUUAUGUUAUAACAUGCUACAUUGUUAUGUUGAAUUGUGUGAGUCAAAGAAAAAAAAAAUAGAAACACGAACUAGGGUUUACAAACCUAAAUCACAAAAAACGAAGAAGAGAAAAUCGCAGUUGAGCCACGGCCUGAAGCUGCCCGUGCCACCUGCGGAACUAAAUGCUGCAAAACCGGCACCUUGCACCCACUUGCUGACGGCAACAGUUUGGGCUUCUCCCUGCCAGGGCUGCUGGUUGACACCUCACUCGGGUCCACCCAGCUUUGCUGGGCUCCUGCUGCUGCUUGGCUGCCUUCAUCUCGGCUCAAGCUCCAAACUGAUAACAUUCGAGAUUAUACAAAAUUAUACACAAAGGAUCAUUUUUUGGCUUUCUCUUUAGUCCUAUGUCUCUUAUACAUAAAGUGAGUUACAAACUCACUCUCAAUGUUACAUGUUUGGGGUUUGUCCACGCCCCCUUGUGUGAAUAAACUGCUUUUCAAAAUCUUAGUGAAGAUUUGGAUUUGCUAGUCAUGUUUGUUUUUUUGUGAAAUAAAUACCAAUUGAAGCGGACGGUUUCUUCAACAACAAAUGAGAUGGGUCCAACUACUCAUAUAUAAUGAAAUUGAGCAUGUUUCCCAUCUCUCCUCGAGAAAAAAAGGUGGGCUAUGCAAAAUUGUGCUCAAUUUCAUAUGCGCCAAUUCCGCAAGAUCUCUUCUUAGUUGGGGGAAGAAUCCGCAUGAAUCGGAUUUUUGAAACAUAUCAAGAAAGAAUUGGUUAGACAAUGUGAUCAUAUCUUCUUAGGGCUUUUUGGAUGUAUAAUGCAAUUUCAAUAGUAAUGCAGUAAUGUUUGGGUUAGAAUCAGCGGAUCAAGGAGUGGUAACUCAAUCACGGGGGAAACUUAGGGCCUCCUUUUUUCACUGCAAAGCACAGCAUGGGUGUUCCAUUUCUCGGGCCAAGCCAAAUUUCGGAUGUUCUGCUUCGAGCCUGGAACAAACUAUUGGGGUCCCUGCUAACCCCAAUUUUGUUUGGCCCGCAACCAUUCAACCCAAUAGCCCUAACAUCUAUGAAAAUGAAUAAUCUAAAAAGAAUUAGAUCAUUGUUCUCUGAUAAAGUAAGAAUGUUGUUUGUUCCAUUUAUUGAGAAUUCAAAUCAAAUACAAUCUUACUUGAAUCAUAACUCAAAUUGCAACCAAAAUCUGCUUCUGCUAUGAGUCAAAGAAAAGAAUUAUGGAAAGCCACCGCAAAGUAUACAGAGAGAAGAGAGGUAGGGAUGUAGUGUGAAAGGAUGGAUUAAUUUGGAGUUUGACUUCCCAGUGGUUUUUCAAUUUGUACUUUAGCAAAGAAAGCAGCUAGAAUGAUUAUUGAAAAUUAACUUCUAAAUAGCUUGUUGCUAAUGUGGAAUGGGAGUUUUUGUUUAAUGAAAUGGACUUUUUGCAUAUUAUAGGGCUGUUUGUGAAAGCCUGAAAAAUUGAUAAACAACCAAUCGAGUUAGGUAAUUUUCGUUAUAUAUGGUUCGUUUUUCUAUGGCCACAAGUUUUAGUUCCAUUAUGAUACAUGGCAUGCCAGUUAUGUUCUCAUUUAUCACACCAAGUAUGAAUGCACUAAUGUAGUUCUUGUAUGUUCUAUUUCCAAAGUAUUUUCCAUCUACUAAAGGUAAUGGUCUCACUUAACUCUUUUAUUGCAGACAGUAUUUUCAAUAACAGAAACUUUUAUCAAUUUUAGAAAUGAAAUAAUAACUGCCAAUAUUUUCUUGGCUUGGAGAUAGUUAAAGAUAAGAAAAAAGAAGGACAUUAAAUAAAUCUCUUAACCUACACGAGCCUUUUCUUCAAGUUCUUACUCUUGGCAGAACUUCAGUCUUUCACUAUUUAUAUUUUCAAAAGAUUUACAAGUAGUUUGCUCAAAAGAAUUGAUGCAAAUUUAAGUUUGGGCCCACCGUCACUUGAUUAUUCCUUUCAAGACGUAAAAAAAAAAAAAAAAAAAAAAAACUUAUCUUUUGACUAAAAUGGGUAUUUGACGUCACAUUAAAAUUGCUCAAGAAACUGAACCGAUAUUAAAACACCCCACCUCCGGAGGGGAGGAGAAAUUCAAAUUACUUCUUUUUUUAUUCAAAAGAAGCUCAAAAACUUUGGCCCAACCAACUUGAAAAGUGCUGAUCGUGGCUGCCCCAUGCAAGUUACAAAAAUUUGACCAGACUUUCAUAAUAUUUGAAGAGUAUUACAAAAAUAUUAAUAUUUUUUAAUUUUAAUUUCCAAUUGGAACGUCCCUAUUACUUUUCCUCAAAACGAAAAGCAAAAACCAAAAAACAAACCACCAUAUGAACAAGUUCUAAUUUAGUUGUAGGCAUCAGGGGUUGGCCAUUAUGAAAGCGAUCAAAGAGUUCUAAGGAAAUAUGAAGAAAAUUGUUUUUCUACAAUAUUCAGGUUUUGACUUGGAGUGAAGUGGAAUGCUGUAGGUGCUAUAUAUAGACCACAACAAUUGAGAGUCUGACCUGAUGUGAACAGCAAUGCCUCUAGAUCAUCAACCAAUUUAUGCAAGUUGGUACUGUACAAUUCUAUUGUUGUCCCUGCUGCCUCACGACCAGUAUAUGCACUUCCAGAAGUUCAAUUUAGGAAUGACUUGACCUGCAAUUCAACAUUGGCUGCAAUGCGUCGACUUUUAAUUGGCCGUCAUUUGGCUUUUCACAUCUCCAAACUGGAAUAUUCAAUUGUAACAAAUAUUAUCCAAAUACAGAGUCCUAUUCUAUUAUCUUCUUCAGAUGCCCUUUUAUGUUUAGGGAUGGUAUUGGGACGAUUACCGUAUCAAAAUUCAUUUAUUAAUUAUCAUACCAAAUUUUUAGUAUGACAAAAUCUAUUACCAUUACCUUGCUAAACUUUUGGUAUAUUGAAUUUCGGCAUGUCAAAUAGUUUAGUUGACAUAGUAUGGUAAUGGUAAUUACCAAUUUGUUUUGGGCCGUUCUUUUGGGCCAAAAUUUGAAUUUUUUUCCAACCUAAUUCAAGGCCAAAACAUGUUUUGGCCACUCCCUUUGGGUUUCUAGAACUUUUUUAUUUAAUUUUGAGAAUUUUAUAGAGAUUCAUUAAAUAGAUGGAAGAAUUGCUGAAAGAACCCAAUAUCCCUAAAAAAAUAGUACAAUGAUUCCUAAAUUCCAUCUCUACAUUCUUUAAAAUUGUAUAAAAUUAACUUGAUAGAUGAGGCCAGGGAGAAAGACAUCUCAAUUUGAUGAAGGAGGAGAUGAGAUGGACUUUGGAGAGAGAGUCGCGGAACUGGAGCAACAGAGAUGAAGUCGGUGGCUAGAUGAGUGAAAAGAUGAAGAGUCGCAGCGCAAGAAAGCUUAGAUUUUUUUUAUUGGGAAAGUAGAGGUUAGAUGGUGAGAUGAUUGGAUAAAUGAUUAGGAAAAAAAUAUAAAGUGCACAUAUAAUGAUAAUAAUACCGAAUUAUAUAUAAAUGAAUAAAUAAAUGAUAUAAUUAUUAUAAUAUUAAUAGUAGUGGUACGGUAUGGUAUACCAUUGAUAUUAGUUUUGAAUAUCAUUACCGUACCAAAAUGUAUGGUACAGUACAAAUACCGUACCAUACCAAUGAUACAAUUUUUUUUGCACAACUUUGGUAUGAUACGGUUAAUAUGGUAAUUUAGUAAAAAAUUCCAUCCUUAUGUCUGCAGCCCGUGACUAUGCUCGUUGUGAAUGUCCAAAAAGUAUUAAUAGAGAAUAUGAUUAUACUCCAAUAAUAUGUCAACAAAAAUUGAAUUAUUGAAAAGUCCAGUAAAUAUAACAGCGAAAGACACAAAGUGUUAAGUUGGGAGGGAAUAUGACCUCCAAAACAUUAAUUACUUAGUAUUAUGGUGCAAUGAUAUUCUUAUUUACUUGUACAUAAGAGAUAUUAGGUUCGAACAUUUGGAUGCAAGUUCAACACCAAUUUAUUUUGAGAGAUUAUAUUUACACAUCCCAAAUUACUUCUCCCACAUCCAUUUAAUUUUUUAAUAUUUUCUACACACCACUAACAUUUAAUAGAAAAAAUAUAUCUUUAAAAAAAUGAUGUGUGUGAUCUCUAAAGCACUAAUUGGUAAGCACAAGAAAAAAUUGAGGUUAGUCCACCUCGUGGAGUAAUUGGCCAUUUCUUAUUCAAUUUCCAGAUUGUCCUUUCCUUGAUUACAUUACAAAAUUUCCUUGUACAAAAGUAAUGGUUCCCACGUCCAUGAUGAAUAAAACCCAUUAAACAAUUAGGAGCUUGCGUAAACCUUUUGAUCCACUGCCUCAGCCUAUAAAUACCAAUACAUCCUCCUCACUUCUUCACAACUCAAAAUCUCCCAAUACAUCAUCUUUUUAUCUAAGUCUUCCUCUUCGUCGAUUAUUUUCCCACUUCACAAACACAUCUUAGAAUCAUGGGUGUUUUCACAUACGAAUCCGAGUUCACCUCCGUCAUCCCCCCCGCUAGGUUGUACAAUGCCUUUGUUCUUGAUGCUGACAACCUUAUCCCCAAGAUUGCACCUCAGGCAGUGAAGAGCACUGAGAUCCUUGAAGGAGAUGGUGGAGUUGGAACCAUUAAGAAGAUCAACUUCGGUGAAGGUAGCACAUACAACUAUGUCAAGCACAGAAUCGAUGGAGUUGACAAGGACAACUUUGUGUACAAGUACAGUGUGAUUGAGGGAGAUGCUAUCUCCGAAACAAUUGAGAAAAUCUGUUACGAGACUAAGUUGGUGGCUUCCGGCAGCGGUUGCAUCAUCAAGAGCACCAGCCACUAUCACACCAAGGGAGAUGUUGAGAUCAAGGAAGAGCAUGUUAAGGCUGGCAAAGAGAAGGCCUCCCACCUCUUCAAGCUGAUUGAGAACUACCUCUUGGAGCACCAGGAUGCCUACAACUAAACAUUGUCUGGUGCUGCAUUCAUGUGUUAUUCAGUCUCGUGUCAUCUUUGCCGUCAAAUAUUAGUGUGGUUUUAAUCCGUUUUAUAUAUUUUCUUCCCUUCCAAAACAGUGUUUGGCUAGUACGUAAUUGAAGGUUUUGAUUGAAGAGUGAAUGUUGUAUUUCCUUUCAUUUGCAAUAAACUCAAAAUUAAUGGACCUGAUUAUUCCUGCAAGUCUUUCUUAAUGCAAGUUUGUACUUGCUAAUGUUAUGUUCCACUUUCCUAACUACUUUAGUUUACUGAACACAUGAGAAGCGACAUUUCAAUUACCCGCAAAUCAUAAUAAUUGAAUAACAUUUGAAUCUCUACCACAUAUAGCGUAAAGUGAUGAAAGGAAAUCUCUGAUUUCGUUUUCCUUGUAAACCAUUUGGUAAUUCAUACCAUAAAUAACCCCAUGAGUUAACACACCCAUGAUGACGAUUUUAAGAGCUUGUCUUUCCUCAUCCUUAUGUGGCAUGACUCACCUCCAUCCGCGGUUCUUGCUUCUUGCAUUCGAAUUUUCUUAGCUUAUUUGAUUUCUGAUUUUUAAAUUAGUGUGCCUCACGCCAUAUAUGUUAGGAUCGUACAAGUUCAUCAAACCAAUUCGCUAAUUUUAUCAAAUAUGGAUCGUACAAGUUCAACUCACAAUUCAUCAAAUAUAUGCACAUGACUUACACGAGUCUAUAGACCAUUUCCCUCUAAUUCAAUAAAGUCACUAUGAAGUAUAAAAUGAACCUUUCAUGUGCGAAGUUUACCGGACAACAAAGGAAGGUCCGUAGUCCUAAAAAGACUCGCAAUAAGGAAUCAACAGUUGGCUACUACUGCAAAAGCUCAUUGUAAAGGCAUUGUAGGCAGAAGGGAAGCAAGGAGAUUUUGACUGAAUAAUUAGUUCAACAAUUUGGUGGGUGAGAAUAUGAAGGUAAAGUCUCGUAUCGGUGAUUGGACCAAAUUUUGUUGUGGUUACAAGAAGUUGAGCUAUUUUUUAUAUUGUCAAUUAGUUUUAUGGUAAAAUCUAAACUUUCUUAAUGAUAUCAGAGCAAGUUGUUUCACAUGUAAAGCCUAACGGCCAAACAUGUGCCCCAUGCUUAAUUUGUAUUGCCCAUGUGUUAGACUUUAAAAUUCGCCAGAUGCGAAGAAGUGUGCUAUAAUAGUAGGACAAAAUCUUAUAACCGUAAAAAACCAAACCUUACAAGGGCUUAGAAUAAGUUUAUUUUAUUUUAUUUUUAUUUUUAAGUAACGAUGGCAUUCAUUGAUAGGAGCCCAAACAGCUCAGAGGUAGUACAUCAAAGAUUACAAGCAGAUAGAAAGACCAUUUACAAGCAAUCCUGGACCAGAAGAUCCAAAAUAAAGUUUGGUGGGGUAAUAACCAUUCGCAAUGGGUUCCAAUUGACAAGCUAAACUGAGCAAGUUGAUGGGCAACACCGUUGGCUUGGUGACGAAUAUGGGAACACAAAUAUUUAGUGAUUGUGGGAAGAAAAGCCUUUGUAUCUUCCACUAAAUGCCUGAUUGAUGAACAGUUAGGAAAUCAUUUGCUAGUGCUCUCAGAAUCUGAAGAGAAUCACCUUCGAUUACUAGAUUUUUAAAACCCCUUGUCACCGCCCAAACCACACACUCCCUAGCUGCCAAGGCUUCCGCGCGCAUGGAGAGGGGAUGACACAUUUGGAAAAUUCAGGCAAGCAGCCGCCACGAAAAAUCCCAGUGUCGUCUCUUACAAUGAUACUCACACCCCCCAAAAGGUUUCCCCACGCCAAGCACCAUCAAAAUUGAGUUUCAAACGCCUUGAGGGUGGCGUUGUCCAUUUGGGAGGACCAGGAUUUUGGCCAGGGGCCUGAGCAAGGGGGUGUUUUCCGACACAAAUUGUUGCCACCAUGAGAGGACCUUAGUCACCAUUAAAUCUGGAGAAUCACAGCGGUCAUUCCAAAGCUUGUAGUUGCGGGAGUUCCAAAUAUCCCAACAAAUCAUCAUGAAGACUUCCAACGUAUUUAAGGGGGUAGGUUAGAAAGAAGGUCCAACACCCAAGCUUUGAAGGACGGUGAAUCCUGGAGGUUGGUAAGGGCCCAAGAGGGGAGAACAACCAAGCACAUCGAGCAUAGUGACAAUCCUUAAUAAGGUGGGACACUUACUCCACAAAGGAGUUGCAUAGUACGCACAAUAGAUCCGUCGUAAUAUGUUUCAAGCCCAAAUUUCUCCUUGUGGGGAGAGAUUCAGUGCACAAACGCCAAAAGGAGACACGCACCUUUGGGGUAACAUUUGCGUGCCAAACUUCGGACCACAAUUCGGAAAAAGGAUAUGGGGAUGAAGAAGAUGAACCAUGUUGAGCACUCAGCCGAACCCAUUCCCUCGUGACGUGGUACGCCGUUUUCACCGAAAAAAUGGCCUUUUUCUCAUGGUGCCAAAUGAACUGAUCAGCCACAUCACGUAGACUCAGAGGAAUAGAGCGAAUAAGGUCAACCUCCACCGGGGAAAGGAAAGAAUUGAGAAGAUCCACCCUCCAUGUUUUGGACACGGGCUCAAUCCAAUCUGCUACAAAUUUCAGACUACAAUUAGCCGGCCUUGGGGAGAAAAUCCGAAACAUGGAUGAUGGGAGGGAAAUUCAGGGGUCUUCCCAUAAUUUUACCGAUUUUUCAUUCCCAAUUAGCCAUCGCAAACCCCGAGAUUACACAUCUCUCGCAUUGCAAAUGCUCAUCCAGCAGAAGGAUGAGUUAGCUACUCCUCGUAUCAACUUCCUUCACAGUCAACGUCUUAGUAAACUAAUUUGUACUGGUAAAUGCAUAACGGUGGAAAUGUCGAAGGCUAUCUGUCCUUUUUUCUUUUACUUAUGUAUAUUUUUAAAAAUUACUUGUUUUCUCAUUUUCUAUUAAUUAUUGCUUUCUGUAAUUUUUCUUGAUUUUAUUAAUUGUCAAUUCACGUAAAUUCAAAUACUCGCACACCUUUUACUUGAUUAAAGACUAAUCGCAGAGUCUAGCUACUCCAAAGGCUAAAUAUCAUCGAAUAAUUUACAUAUAAGUAGUAUAUGUAUUAUUUAUUUAGAUUAAAAUUAAAUACAGUAUUGCUCUUUAAUCAUAUCCGAACUGCAAGUCAGAGAAUUGCUUUGGUAUGAUGAAAAUUUGAAAACCACACACUUGAAUAAACAGAGAAAACAAGACACAAGUUUGUUGCCAAAUAGAUGGUUUUAGUUGUAGGCAUCAGGAUUGGCCAGAAGGUGGCUCUCAAUAAGCUUGAAUAGACCAAGGGCCUUGUCUUUGCCAGCCUUAACAUGUUCUUCUUUGAUCUCAACAUCUCCCUUAGUGUGGUAAUGGCUAAUGUUCUUGAUACUAGAACCAGUGCCAGAUGCCACCAACUUAAUCUCAUAAGAGAUUUUCUCAAGUUUGUCAGAAAUGACAUCUCCUUCAAUCAAACUGUAGCUAUACACAAAGUUAUCUUUGUCAAUUCCCUCAACCUUGUGCUUUAUAUAGUUGUAUUCACUCCCUGUCAAAUGGAAAAAUAAGUUAGAAAUUAAGAUACUAGCUAGUGUUUUUGAUAUAUAUAUUAAAUAGAUAAAAUUAACAAGUCAAUGGAGAAGAUGAUGAAAAUUAAACAAACCUUCACCAAAACUAACUUUCUUGAUGGUUCCAACACCGCCAUCCCCCUCAAGAAUUUCAACAGUUUUGAUUGCUUGUGGAGCAAUCUUCGGGAUAAGGUUGUCAAUAUCAAGAAAAAGGGCAUUGAACAACCUAGCAGGGGGGAUGACUGAGGUGUAUUCGGUUUCGUAUGUGAAAACACCCAUGAUGAUGACUUUUAAGAGCUUAGAAAAUGAGCAAGGAAAUUAAGAAUGAAAGAAGGAAGCAAAGAGGAUGAUUGAUGUUGAUGUGAGAAAAUUUUAUCACCAGAGGGUAGUAUUUAUAGAUUUGGGAUGGAGGGUACGUGUACAGUAACCCCCUAUAUGUAAAGGAUUUCGGACAAAAUUUGAAGUUUACAAUGGAGGUUUUCCAUGUGAAAUGAAAAUGAAAUAUAAUUUUCAAUUGCAUGCAUAAAAUAUGUUAUUUAGUUUUACAGUCGAGUAAUAUUCUUCUUCACUUAUAAGUGAGAGGUUUUAGGUUCAAUUUUCGCCAAAAGCAAAUUUCGACCACAUUAUUGCUAAGCCUACCUCAUUCCCUUAGUGUAGAUAAUAUGGUUUGUUAAAAAAAAAGUUAAUUACAUGCAUAAAAUAUAAAACAAAAAAUGCAUAAAUGUAUUAAGUCAAAGAAAGCCACAAAUAUAAUUUAUAGAAUCAAUGCAUAAAUGCAUAAUUGUCCAAAAUCAAACUCAAUAUUAUCGUCAUUUCCAACAGGUAGAAUAAUAGUGAAUACACUUGGAUUUUCUUGAUGAUCAUACAAUCGAUAUCAACUAUAUAUUAACUAACAACACCAAUUAAUUCAUGGUUAAUCAUACAAGAAAAGGAAGAAGAUGCAAGUAUUUAACUUCGACAUAAAAGACAACCUUAAAUGUCGGUGGGCUGUUUGAUCAUGACAUGUUUACAAAUCAUAAUUUGGAUAAUACAAUAAUAAGCGGAGAGAAAGGCAGUACAAGUAGGGAGAAAGACUACACACAAAUCUCAUGAUCAGUUGGUAUAAUAUACGGUGCAGCAUACAAAAACGCCGUCUUGAAAGAAUAAGAUUUAUGUCCUCGUAAUUCUAAGGGUAUUUCUGUAAAAAGAAAAUAAACAUUUUAUUUUUUGAUCAAUUUUCAAUGGCACGAAUUCCCUGAUUUAGUAGAUUAAGAGGAAGGGAUCCGGAGAUAAUCUUUUUCCUUUAUAUUUUAGAUACUAACAGAAAAAAAAAACUAAAUAAGAAAAAAAAAUGUGUUCCUUAGUAUUACGGUAUAAUGAUAUUCUUCUUUAUUUGUAAGUGAGAUGUAUUAAGUUCGAUUAUCACCAAAAGCAAACUUGAACCACAUUAUUCAUAUGGUUAACUCAUUGUGGGGUUUAGUUCACUUCUCAACCCUGUGUAGAUAAUAUGUUUGUUCAAAAAAGAAGAACAAAGAAAAACAAAAAAGCUGAAGCCACAUUGUGCGACACAAAAAGUGCCAGAAAAAAAUGAAUCCUCAGCGUGAGAAAAGAGAACGAAAACGCACGAUGUGAUCGUUCCAUAGAGAAAAAAAAUGAUCGUGCUGCUCCACUGGAGUCUGGGACCUUGCGUAUAACUGUAUUCUUCUUCCUCCUUAUGUAGUGUUGACCCUAAAAACUACCAAGCCUACGUGGCACGCAGGCCGAGUAAUCUAUAAGCUAACUACGUCCUUCGAUGAAUGCGGGGCGUGCCAACUCGUCGGCCAAGCUCGACCGAGGAGUAAAUUUGUUGAUGAUGCGUUGGGUGCGCGGCUGACUUCUGCGUCUUGCGAUUGCGACCGAGGAAGGAACACGUCUCGGCCUCUUGGGUUCUCGAACCUGAAGACAAGGCUACUAUUUUUACGAAGUUCACGAAUCGUCAUCGUCGGAUUCAGUCACAGUGAUGUUAUUCAUCAGAGUAAACUCACACCGAAUCAACACCAAAGUGUAAGGGUACAAAUACUUAAAGCGAAUAUAAGUCUUAAUAGUGAACGUGGUUCGGCCGUCUGAAUGCUGAACUCUAAAUCCCACUUGAGAGUAUCCAAUCAUAAAAUAACUCGGCGUGCAAUGCGCCGAGCUCAGUAAACUGUAACACCUCACUUCGCCGAGAAGGCUAAUGAGAUGACCUCAAUCAAUAAGGAUUCAGAAAUCCUUCUCGACCGAGACUUGGAUAGGUAACCAACCGUCCUCGCCGCAGUGCUGUUGAUGCCAACGAAAGAUGCUGCGAGAUCGGCUCGAGUAAAGUUUACUUGAUCGCCGAGAAGGCUAAUUCCCUGGAGUAGAAUAAUAAGAGUUCAGAAAGAUUAACCUUUUCUUUAUAUUUUCCUACUAACUGGUUUGAUCCCCACGAAAGAUGCGCGAGGACGGUAUACAUAUAUUCUUCUUUAAUUUGUAAGUGAGAUGUAGUUCGAUUAUCACCAAAAAGGCAGAACUUGAAACCACAUUAUCAUAUGGUUACCAUUGUGGGGUUUAAGUUUUCACUGUGUCAACCCUUGUGUAGAUAUAUAUAAUAUGUUUGUUUCAAAAAAGAAGAACAAAAAGAAAAAAACAAAAAAGUGGAAGCCACCAUUGUGCGACACAAAAAAGUGCCAGAAAAAAAUGUAAUCGUGCUCAGCGUGGAUGUUCAAAUGAUUAGCGAGGAACGAAAAACGCACCGAUGUGAUCGCUCGUCUGGUGCACUAGAAACCCAAAAACAUGAUUGCAAUGCUGCUCCACUGCGGAGUCUGGGGAACCUUGCGUAUAUGACCAGUAUUCUUCCUCCUUUUAUCGUAGCACACCCAAAAACUACAACGUCACCCCUACGUGGUCACGCAGGCCUUGGGUAAAUCUAUAAGCUAAGCUCGGCAUUUACGACGCCAUUCACCUCUCGUCCAUGGAGGUCAUCCUGGACAAGGAGUCCUCCUAGCGGCCUUAUGUUUUGGUGCGGGCCACCAACACCAUGGUCCUCCUCGGUGGGCCCCCCUUUCCACCAUCUUAGGGAUUUCUCUGGCCUUUAGCUCCCCCGAGGAUAAAUUUGUGACGAAUGCGUGGGUGCGCGGCUGCUUUUGCGCGUUCUUGCUGAUUUGCGAACCGAGGAAACAAGGGAGAACAACUGUCUGGCCUGCCUUGGGCCCUUCCGGUCGGAACCAGAAAGACAAGCUACUUUUUACAGAAGUUCACCAAUGGCGUCAUCGUCGGACUUCGAUCCCGACAGGAGUUUUCUCAGAAGGCUUUUACACCAAUCAACACAAAGUGAAGAAAUGAUUAGAUACUUUUUCGCUCUUCGAUGAACUUUGGAACAGUCUGAAUGCAUCGUCGGAAAUACUUGGACGAGUAGACAAUCAUAAGAUGCCGGCGCUUGCAAUGCGCCGAGCUCAGUAAGUAAAUCUGUACACCUCAUUCCGCCGAGAGGCAAUGAGAUGGACCUCAAUAAAAGGAGUUUCAAAUCCUUCAAACUCGACCGAGACUUGGAUACGGUAACACCGUCUCGCCGCAGUUGUAAAAAUUGGAUUCCCCCAACGACUGCGGCUUCAGCUCUGAUUUCCUUUUACUUUCCAGCAGGUCGGCCAUUGAAAAAGUGGAAAGUUUGCGUCAAUUUUGUCCUCGGCGCGGCUGAAUGAAAAAAUUCGGUUGUUUUUCCGAAAGAGAGCUAGACCGAUUGUGCAGGCCGUAACUGAGCAAGAGGGGCCUCCCGUAAGAUUUGCGCCGGUCUCCAGCGAAUUCCUCGACCAGCGAUCGAGUCACAUGAAAAAGCCUGCGCGAAGGAUACAGGGAAUACCGAAGAAGACUUCACAUUAUCUCCAGUCAAAACUACGGGGCGACGACUCCCAGGUGUUCCCCUUCUCCCCCAUCGUCCGCAAGCAUUCUGGUCCGGAGGAAAGCGGUCCGUUCCUGGCCCGACACGAAAUAGUCCAAAGUAAAAAGGCUCUGUUUCUUUAAAGUGGGACGGUCAAACUUACCUUGUUGUUCCAUCGUCUAGGCUGCUCACCCGUUUCAAAGAUGGCAGUCCUUUGUGGUACCGAAGGAACUUAUCUGAAAAUUCCAAAAACCCUUGCAUUCGUUCAUAAGAGAGCACACAAGAGCGACGAGGUUUCACUGCGAGGCUUUCCUCUUCAAUUCUUUACAACAAAUUUAGUCGUGUUGACCUGCGGAGAGUGAAGUGGGUGGAGCCUUCCCGCUCGCCUCAAUAUUGUUUGGAAGCAACUUUGACCUUCGAAGUUCCCCCCAACGGCUUUCCUUGGAUGCGUCUCGCCUACAACUCGACAGCUGAUACUAAAUGCCCUCCACGAAGCUGAAGAAUGAUGUUUAGAAGCGGGAGGCUUGGUUGGAUGACACCUUCUAAUGAUAAGGUUCUUGAGUCUGCCAUCGUCAAGGAUUUGUCUGCCAAGACUCUAAGCGGGGCGCUAAAAAUGCCUUCAUUCUGAUUCCUAAAAUUAUCGCCGAAGGGUGAUAUCAGGGUUGAAGCCGCCUCGCGUGGCCAAUCAAGAUAACCCCAUGACUCCGAACUGACGUCUUUAAGCACUUAGGCUUCGGACUAGUUUUUUUGUUCCAGAGCAGCGAUUUGCGCAUCCGAGCCUCCUGCCGACAUUUGAAAUAACCUUUUGCCAUUUCGCCGCAUUCUUGAGCAAACCGAAGCUUUCAGGCGGCCAUCAUACCAACGAGCAAGUGAUUGCAAGACCUCUGGAGCCCUAAGAUUUAAUGGCCCUUCGACCUCUAAACGACCCGCCGAUUAAUUGCUCUUUUCGGUGCACAUUUGGUGACUCUGCCGAGUCGUGCGUAAAGGCCUCGUUAUGGUCUUUCAAGACCUCGAUGUGAAUGACGCCAAACUCGUUCUGGGUGUCGGGUUAAGCUUUUGUCUCUUCUUGCGGUCCAGUCCUUGAAUGUAAAGAUCUUAUCCUUUCCUAACGACCUCGACGAGAUGGAAAAUGAAGCCAGUUCUGCCUCCUUCGACCGGUGAAUAGCAUGGGCUGGUGAAUUGAAAGGUUUCUAUUUCUUUCCGAGAUUAAUGGACUUCGAGUGGGCGGUAGAAAUUGUCUUAAUGACAAAGUCGCGAGCGCAAACGAAUCUUCGUUAGAGAUACAACUGAGAACGAGCACUGAGGUUAAGAUGGUGGAAGGAGCUUUAAGGCUUUUCUCGGCCACUCUUCUUCCUUCGGCUUUCCCUUCACGCCCUGAACACGCCAAACUCCAAUUUGUGUAUUUUCUACCGAUCUUAAUGAAAAUGAUUUCUCUUUUUUCCCAUGGAGACGGAUAAUACUUUCUUUCAAAAACUUUCUUGAACUGGCAAUUUUGUUCUUUUGCCCCUUCCGAGGACCUUUGCGUUAUGAGACUUUGUUAUGCAUUGUCCUAACCGUUUAAUCCUACAGGCGAACCUUUUGGUUUAACUACACGCCAAAUGCCAAAAUUUUUUGAUUGUAGGUCGGAGCGUCUUUUUGUCAAGCCUUUCGUCAGAAGUAUUUCUUUUGCUCUUCUAAGUCGCUGAACUUGUCCAAAUUGAGCUAACAGAACUACUCUGGUUUAUGUUUCGAACGAAUUAUGCGAUUAGCUCGACUGGUAAACUGCGUACGUCGUCUGUAGGUUAGUGCAUACGGGGUUUGCCCAGUCCACGAUCGAGCGAUGUUCGAUAUGCCCAUAUUAAGCCUCAUUUAAAAUCGGCCAUGGUAUUGUGACCGGAAAUGUCGAUUUGACUCGGCCUGGGACCCGUUUGUAUUUCUUAGGACCUCAUUGAAUUGACACUGUAUGCGUGCCACCCGGUGCGAAACUCUAUUACAAUCAUUUAAUAGUUCUUGGACCAAAUAAUACCUGUGUCGUCGAAGGCAACACCGCAUUUGUCCGAUGAGCAACCACCGUAAACCCUUUCUCCGGUGGACUUCUGUGAUUGCUUGAGCGCUCUUGAGGGGCGAGGCAGCAGAAUAUUAGACCUUUCACCCUUUUCGGUAUAAAACUCGUUUUUGGAUUUUUUUUUUUUUUGCCGACUUGUUUUGCCAUUGGGUUGUCAAAUACUGCAUAAUGGGCUUUCUCCAAUCAUUUGGUAUUGCCUCGACCCCACAAACAUCUAUAAGGUCUUGUCGGUCUAACAAUGAAGGUAAGGACAUGACUCUGGUGCGUAUCACGUUGUCACGUCGGAGGACUUGCUAGUUAACCAAGGCCAGGUAUAGUUGCCGUAACACAGGUAUUUCUCGGCCUAGCUUGCCCCCUCAGAAGUUGUGCAUCAGAGGCGAUUUGAGCCAAUUCGUCUGCGUCGGUAUUAUGGACCUGAGAAAUAUGUUCAAAUGUAAUACCGUCGAAAGAUUCAGUCAAAUAGCUGGCAACCAUGUGGUAGGGUGCCAGGGUAUAACUCAUGCAUCGAAAAGACCCAUUAAGUUGGUUAAUCACAAGUUCGAAGUCGCCGAGGAUGAGGGCACGGGUUGCCCGCAAGUCAUGAAGGAUGCCAAGGCCGAUGAUGAGGGCUUCAUAUUCGGCUUGAUUGUUUGUGCAUUCAAAAUCCAGCUUGAGCAAAAAAUACCAACGAUCGUGGUUUGAGGAUUGAAUGACAAUUUCGACACCAGCCAAGGAUGAAGUACUUGAGCCGUCAAAGUACAUCGUCCAGUAGUUAUCGCGUGUUUGAACCAUGUCGAUUUCGAUAUCGGUGCCCCCAAAACCAUAGGGGGAAUUGUGUUGAGCGAGGAAAUCAGCUAAUGAUUGGCCUUUGACAGCUUUCUGGGGCACGUAUUGCAAGCUAAACUCGGACAACGCCAUUGUCCACUUCCCAAUUCGACCUUUGACAAUUGGUCGGGUGAGCAUGUAGCGGAUGACGUCGGUCUGGGUAAUGACUUAUGUGAUCGAUGGGAGCAUGUAAUGCCGAAGCUUGGAGGCGACGAAAAUACGGCGAGACAAAGUUUCUCGACGGUGGAAUAAUUGAUCUCCGGUUGAUUGAGAUCUCGAUUGAGGUAGAAAAUAGCCUGUUCUAGUCCGGCAUCGUUGUCUUGUGCGAGGAGGCAGCCGAUGGAUUCUUCAGCCGCCGAGAUAUAUAGCUUGAGAGGCUUACCGCGCCGGGAUGAGACAAAGACAGAUGGUGUCGUGAGGAAGACUUUGAUUUGCAUAAACGCCGCCUAAUGCUCAUCUUUCCACUCAAAUUUAUCUGAGUCCUUAAGUUUCAAAAGCGUAGAGAACGCUUUCAUUUUACCCGCCGAGUUAGCUAUAAAUCGGCGGAGAAAAUUUAUCUUACCGAGUAAGGACUGUAGUUGUUUCUUCAUCGUCGGGGGUGGAGCAUUAAUGAUUGCACGUGCUUUAUUUUCAUCCACGUCAAUCCCACGGUGAUGCACGAGGAAGCCGAGAAAAUUACCGGCCGACACACCGAAGGCACAUUUGGCAGGAUUCAUUUUGAGGUUGUGUUGACGCAUACAGAGGAAAGCCUAUCGGAGAUCAUCCAGAUGUGUCUGCCGAUAUUUAGAUUUAAUUAUAACAUCGUCGAUGUAGACUUCGACGAUGGUUCCAAUUAAAUCAUGAAAUAUGGUGUUCAUUGCUCGUUGGUAUGUGGCGCCUGCGUUCUUGAGGCCGAAUGGCAUGACAACCCAUUCGUAAGUGCCGAGUCCCCCGGGAAGCGAAAAACAGUCUUGUGCACAUCGACUUCGGCAAUGAAAAUUAGGUUGUACCCGGCAUGGCCAUUCAUAAAAGAUAAGAUCGCAUGAUUCGCCGCGGCAUCGAUUAACAAAUCCGAAAUCGGCAUUGUAUACUCAUCUUUGGGAGUUGCCAGAUUCAGAUUUCUGAAGUCGAUGUAAAUGUGCAAUGCACCACUUUUCUUUAAAACAGGAACGAUAUUGGCCAACCAUUCAACGUAUCGAGCUAUCCGAAUGAACCCUGCUUUCAAAAGCUGAACCAGUUCAUCCUUGAUACCGAGUUGCACUUCGGUCGAGAAUCGUUGAAGUGGUUGACGGAAAGGUUUACAUCCAGGUUUAAUACGUAACUCAUGCUCGACGAGAGUGCGAUCUAAGCCAGGCAUUUCAUGGUAGCUCCAAGCAAAACAAUCUUUGAAUUCCUCAAGCAGGGCACGAAGUUCGGCUUUCAUAGGUUGGGGAAGUAAAACACUAAUAAAUAAAGGUCGUGGGUCAUCGGCCGUCCCAACAUUAAUUUCUUCCAAGGGGUCCUUAACUUGGGGCCGAUUGUCUUCGAGCUCGGCCGAGGCAGCUUGAAUUUUGUCAAGAGAUAAGACAGAAUCAUUAUCUCAUUUGGCGAGGAACUCGACGAGGUUAGCACCCGAAUUUGGUUGCUUAGAUAUAGUAUACCAAUGAGCCAGCAGUCGUUCCAUAGUAUAUGAAAUCACGGCCCAAUGUUGUUCCCGAUCGGUGUCAAACAUUGGGGUCGGGGAUGAAGUUUGCUAAACCGAGUCUCACCGAAUCCUAGUGGAUAGUUUCGGCGCCAACCUCGAUAACUUUUUGAACAGAAAUCUGAGUCGACCAUCUUUCAUCAUUGAAACCCUGUAGGGUGAUGUAGCCGACGUGGUCAUCAUAAUACCGUGCUUGGAUCAUGUUAGCUUCGAAUGGCUGACUAUCGGCCGGGUGAACAAUGACAGAUUUUCCGUCCCAAAAAAUGAGCAUUUGAUACAAUGAUGAAGGAAUACAGCUGGUUUGAUGAAUCCAGUCGUGACCGAGCAGUGCAUUAUACUCGGUCUUGGAGUUAUGAUAAAAAAGGCGGUCAUGUGAUUACAGCCGGUAAUGUUUACCGCUAAAGGAAGCACCCAUUUAGUGUGGGAUUUGUCUCCGACGAAACUGCUCAUUGUGAUCCCGGAGGGAAUAAGUUUGUCAUUGGAGCGACGUAAUGCCUUCAUGACGUUUAUAGGCAUGAUAUUGACAGUGGCUCCACAGUCAAAAAAAACUUUGGAGACUGGAUACCCUUCGAUAUGGGCCGUUACAUACAAUGGCUUCAAAUGAUGAAGUUUGGCCGAUGAGGAGCGAGGAAACAAUUCAGCCAAAGCUGCCUUGAGAUUGUCAUCUUUUGUUGUCGACUCGACUUCAGCAAUGGUUACAAAAUCAAUGUGACCGGCUUCUUCGGCAACUACGUCUCCAUUGAGGAAAUUUGGUUGAGCUGUGCUCGACUGAAAAUCAGCGAGCAAAACAUGGACCAUAUUGAUUUCCAUGUUAUCUAAUACUGACGAGCCCAUCGGGUUACGAUCAUCUUCUUCAGCCUCUUCUCUUUCCGGGUCACCGACUGCGGCAUCUGCUUCCGUUAGAGUUAUACUAAGAGACUCCUCUGCUCCUUCAAUAGUUUGUUCCCUUGGUGUCUCUUCGGCAGCCUGUUGGUUCUGCGUAGGUGCCUCAAGUGAGUCUGAGAUCAGAAGUGUGCCUGGGAUUAGUGCCAGGAUACGAGCUUGCUCUUGGUACAUUAUACGAGCAUCCCUGGUGUCGAGAUAGGCAUCCAACCAUGCGACUCGUGUUAUUUCAUCGACCGUAAGGCCGAAGAGAGAAACAGCCAAAAAGACUUCGAAAUGGUACUGUAAAUACUGAAGGUCCUCCAUUGAGAAAUGAAGGUCGGCUGCAUCGAUAUCAGUGUAUGGGUCGACUUCAAAACCAAGGACACGAGCUUCUCGUAUGUGCUGGAACCUAGCUUUCAAUCCUGGGUCUAAGGUCUUCUGAAUAAUUCGCUUGGCAUCCGGGCAAGUUAGGACGAGAUCGAUUGUAUCUUGACAUGCUUUCGGCAAACCAUACAGAUCGUUGGCCGAAUGUUUUUUAUGAAACUCUCGCAUAUAUUCCAAGGCCUCCCCGAGGAAUGGUGGAUGUAAAUUCCGUCGAAUUUUGAUCAAAGGUUCUCGUGUGGCUGGCGGGGGCAAUUUGCUUUCAGCUUCUUGCCUGAAAUGCUCGAAGCGUGCCUUCAUUUCCCCGGGCCGAAGAAGAAGUUUGAUCCGUUUAUUAGCCUCUUCAAACGUGGUUUCGAUAUCUUGAUUGACCAACCGUUUCCCUUGAACCAACUCUGUCAUAAUCAUUGGAGAUGGUCGUUCAUCGUCGUUGGCAAUUGUUUCCUUUGGCCGCCAUUUAGGGAUCGAAGUUUCUUGGGCUACCCGUCGGCAGGCCAUGCAGUCUAUUCUUUGGUGCCGACGUUUCUGGGAUUUGGACAGUGCAGUGUAGACGCCUUUCGAAGAGUGAUAUGUAUACCAACGCUAGUCUUGAGGUUCGGGAGGUUUGAAAGUUUUUUGGCUCUGCGAUGAUUUCGAGCUGCUAGAGUUACGUAUAUAAUAAUCCUCGUCAUAAAACGGAGCAUCAAAAUCGAGGCACCGUCUGACUGAAGGUGUCUCUUCCACCCUCACUUUAAGACCAAGCCUAUAAAAAACCCCUUGAUGUUGGCCUGCGUUGAUCACCUUUUGCUGUGUUGCGGUUGUAGGUUGUUCCAUUAUAGGCGGAGAAGACUUUUUCUUUGGCUCGGUGUUGACAUUUGCUUUACAUUUGCUGCAUAAAACCGCCGUCCCACUGUCUUCAUCAGUGCUGUAAUCUGUCAUGGGCUUGACAAUAGCGGGUCCCGUUAGACCUGUAAGUGGUUUGUUCGAACGAAAAUCAGCAUUGAAACGUGGCCGAGAGUUCUGAUUCAGAGAACGUUGCGGUGUAGCGACCUUUGCUUUCCCUUUUCCUUUGUCCCUAAGUAGGCGCGCAUCUACCAUAUUUAUUGUUGCCGUGGGGAAUGGGUCAGUAUCAACACUCAUCUUCUUUUCCAAAAAUCUGAGUUUGCCGUUAUCGAUACAGCUUUGGAUGUUGUCUCGAAACACGACGCAAUUAUUUCUCGUAUGUUUGCUUGUAUUAUGGUAUUUGCAAUAUAUCUUUCCUUUAAGCUCGUCAGCCUUGGGAAUGGUAUGCCCAGGCCGAAGUUUGAUGAUCUUCGCUGAUAGCAAUUGAUCAAAAAUUGCAUCGGCCUUUGUAAUAUCAAAAGUAUAGACUUUUGACGUUUUCAUUGUUUCCUCAGGGGCCGAGCGGGUUUUGACUUCCUUAGAGUCAAUUUAAGUCAGUGCCUUGCAAACGUAUGGCUUAUCUAUGACUAUCUCGGCUGCAUCCACGCUAACACAUUCACCUUCGGCCGAUGCAUAACUGACAGUGGGAUUUUUGUAGAUCGUCUAUCUGGACGGAGCUUUCGAGAUCUUCUCUUCACGGAGCAAAUAAUCGUAUUGCUCGACAUGCUGGGCUAGUUCAUACAUAUCCCGAAAGUUUAUCGCCAAGAAUUUCUUUUUGUAUUCUACAUCAAGACCAUUCAGAGCAAGUCUGACGAACUCGACUUCAGGGAGAGGUACUCGGCACCAAUUCCUGGCUGAUUUGAAUCUGGUAAGAUAAUCCAUUGGUGACUCGUCGGAUGCUUGAGCCAUCCUUGCUAACGAGGAUACUAACACUUCCAUCCCUGGCCGAUAAAACUGCUCAUGAAAUUUCUCGACCAACUUCUCCCAGCUCUGGACAGAAUUCGGUGGGAGGUUGAUAUACCAAGCGAAUGCUGAACCGGUUAGCGAAAAGUUGAACAGUCGCUAUUGACAUCUCCGCAUUGCGCGGUGAAACGAGCCACAUGUUCCAACGAGGAUAAUGAUGAUUCUCCAGCGAAAAGGCUAAAAUCCGAGAUUUUGAAACCUCUAAGGUAUUCGAACUGUUCCACAUAAGCCGGAUACGGAUGUAUAAAUUUAGGGAACUUCGGCCCUUUCUUCAUGGCCGAAUCGAUCAUCCGUUGGACCUCAAUCAUAUCGACGGGUGUUGCCUUCGCCCGCUGGUCGGAUUCGUCUGACCUACUAUUUGAUCCUCCUCCUUUUUCCAAGUUAAUUGGUUUGAGCCGAACAGGGGUUGACUCGGCCAGUGCAAUUGGUAAUAGAUUAUUUUUUGGUGGCAAGUGCUGGGCAAGAUCGAAAGACCUACCGUCACUGACCUUGCUAACCAAUAUUUUGAGUAAUCUGGUUUGUGCCUCACUGGUAUUGCGUAUCACGUCAUGAAGUUUAUCGAUUCCUCGACUAAACGUCUGUUCAACCGUUCGAGAUUGCUCGUCAAGUCAUUUGCAAAGAAACGAUCUUGUUGGUGGAUCAGUUCCAUCACCACCAUCCUCAUCACAAUCCUCCACUAUCCUUUCAUUGAGAACGCAGGUGUUCCUGUUAGGGACUUCAAGACUGUGCGACUGACCGCCGAGAUUAACUUCCCUUUCUCGAUGAAUCGCGCUUGUAGACUCAGGUAUCACAGCGCUAAUGGGAUUCUGCGCCUGCGGAACACUUUGUCCUAUGUUUUGAAUUGGCAAAUCGGCUGUUGACUUUCCCAUAGCUGUUUUCUUUUUUACCGAUUGCGUUUCAAUUGGCAUGAACUUCGUAGUUUAGCAUUGGGUCCCACUGGGCAUGCCAAAAUAUUGACCCUAAAAACUACCAAGCCUACGUGGCGCGCAUGCCGAGUAAUCUAUAAGCUAACUACGUCCUUCGAUGAAUACGGGGCGUGCCAACUCGUCGAGCUCGAGUAAAUUUGUUGAUGAGGCGUUGGGUGCGCGGCUGACUUCUGCGUCUUGCGAUUGCGACCGAGGAAGGAACAUGUCUCGGCCUCUUGGGUUCUCGAACCUGAAGACAAGGCUACUAUUCUUACGAAGUUCACGAAUCGUCGUCGUCGGAUUCGGUCACAGUGAUGCUAUUCGUCAGAGUAAACUCACGCCGAAUCGAUACCAAAUUGUAAGGGCACAAAUACUCAAAGCGAAUAUAAGUCUUAAUAGUUAACGUGGUUCGGCCGUCUGAAUGCCGAACUUUAAAUCCCACUUGAGAGUAUCCAAUCAUAAAAUAAUUCGGCGUGCAAUGCGCCGAGCUCAGUAAACUGUAACACCUCACUUCGUCAAGAAGGCUAAUAAGAUGACCUCAAUCAAUAAGGAUUUGGAAAUCCUUCUCGACUGAGACUUGGAUAGGUAACCAACCGUCCUCGCCGCAGUGCUGUUGAUGCCAACGGAAGAUGCUGCGAGAUCGGCUGAUUCUACGGUGACAGAGUUAUCUAUGUCGACUUAAGAUAUCACCGGUUGCUUUCACAGUGCUGUUGAUGCCAACGGAAGAUGUGUCAGCGAAAAGAGAAAAUAAAAAUCUCAAAGUUGUUGAGAGAGUUUGCGCAGGGUAGUUGUGUGUUGAAUUGGAGAGGCCUUGAAUGAUGUACAACCUCCUCUAUUUAUAGCACCGGAUACCUUCAAGGUCAAGUUAAAACCCUACCCGGAUUAGGACUUCUUCUCCUGAUCAAAUACCAACUCGACCAGUCCUAUUUUCACCAUAAUUGUGAACCUAGUCCUUUAUUAAGCCGGAUUCACUUCCGGGUUAUUAAUCUUACUGAGACUCUUCAUUGCACCAGGAUUCGACUCGUCUUGCGGCAUGGCUUAACCAACCCAGGUUUGGAAACCCACAACCUAACCGGUCCAGAACUAAAUGCUGGGCCGAGAAUAAUUCUAUACUCGGCCCAAACUAAUAUUUUGGGCCCAAACAUGUAGUAAUUCUGAAAAAAAAGCUUCAACUGGAGGAGAAUGGCAAGAAAAUGUUGUUGACUGCAUUACCAGUUUGAAUAACAUGUACUUCUCCCUUCACUUUAAAUUUAUCGUUAAUUUCUAUUUUGAGUUGAAUGGGUUGCAUUUCAAAAUGACUGAAUUUCUGUAUUAUUACAGUUGCGGAGUUGCAAACUAAGUAUAUGAUAGAAUGCCAUACAUGGUUUAGACCAUCUAUAUGCAAAUUGCAAUCUGGCAUGACCUCAAGUUGUAAUUUACAGCAUAUAUCCCUCCUAUGCCCUUUCUCUUUCACUAACGCCCACACUAUCUAGGAGCUUUGAAAGCAGGUAAUCUUCUCUGCACUUCUCAUUUCUUUGAUUUCUAAGGCCACAACAAUUUUUUUGGAGGAGCAGGUAAAUUAUUUCUUCGAAUUUUUUUCUUCUUCAAUAAUUAUGAUGUUUAGUUGAUUAAAUUGGACUCAUAUUUUUAGUGUUAUUUACUCAACCUUUUUAAACAUUUCAUAGAAGUACUCAACCUAUUGAAAAUGUCACAUCUAUUACCCCAGUCAAUUUUUCAAAUAUAGAUUAUAUUCAAAAUCCACCAACUGGGUAUAUCAUUGUCAACAUUAAUAGUAGUUGCCUCUAAAUCUAAAUUUCAAGUAUAGUUUAUAUAAUAUGGAAUCUAACGAUCAAACAAGCAUUGAAUUGAAUCGAAAAUAGACACAAAUUGAAAUGACAUGAAGGGGCAAUCUCCUAACAAAGAAGAGGGUUAAGAAUUCAGAUAUGGUUUCAAGGAGCUUGUUUCUACUCAUGUGAUUUCCUCAUUCACUAAUUUUCUACUCGUAAAGCUUCCAGUUCUUCCGUGUGGAUAAUGAAGAUGUUCGUGGCAGCAUCAUGACAGCCCAUACCAUUUCAACGACCUCCAUGACCUUCUUCUCGAUGUUGGCGGCUUGAGUUGUAGGGUGGAGUUGUUGAUUUUGAGUUGGAUUUGAAAGUGAUGGUCUAAUAAGGAUGGUGGUGAUCGUUAGCUGGUGGAGGUUGUGCGUUCAUGACCUUCUAUUGAUUUUGAAGACAAAGUAACUCUAAUUAAUUUAACAGAUGUUUUAAUUGGAGCUUAAUCGAUGUGACAUUUUCAAUAGGUUGAGUACUAGUUUGAAAUGUUUAAAAGGUUGAGACCAAUUUAAAAUAACACUAAAAGGUUGUGGGGAUUUCGAUACUUAAUCUGAUUUUUAUCCCCACAAUUAUUUGAUUUUCCUUUCAUCUUUGAUUUUAUUUGUUAGGCAUUGAUGAAGUAGAUGGUAUUGCAAUAUAGUGUUCUGAAAUUGAUGACAUGUGCUGAAAUAAUCCCGAUACCAUGUUCAAUCUGACAUGCGAUGAAAUUGAUACCAUGUGCAGUGCUGCAAUAACAAUUGACGAUUAGGAAUAUGUUGUACUUUGCAAUCUGAAAUGACCUCAUGGUUCUUCAAAUGUACCAGGACAAGCAUUGUAGGGUUGUUACUACUAGGGACUGCGAUCCAAGAAAAAAUUGUCAAAUCAAAUUUACGUUCUUCUUUUUACUUGAGACAUUCUUUCUGUUUAUUCAUUCCUCUCUCAAUGAGUAACUUAUAGUUUUAAAGCGAGUUUUAACGAAAAGUCCGCAGUACUGUUCACUUUAACGAAAAAUCAACUUUGUGACACUAAAAAGUCAAACUUGGUACUAUUCAUUUUACCCUUUAUUUUGUCCUUAUCGUUAAAACUCAAAGUUUUCAAGCCAUUUUCAUUAGUUUUUCUUAGUUUUAAAUCCAAAUGGUGGAAUGGAGUGUGAUAUAAUGGAUUUGUUGUGGAUUCCUUAGGGGUUGUGACACACCCCGUCCCGAAGGAGGGCGUGCUGGCCGUCACGUGAGAGUGACGUAACCAUUUACACAGUUCGGAAGCUUUAAAAAAAAUUCCAAUUACUAAGAUAACACACCCGAGGGUGAGUCCUACUUUUGUGAAUUCUGUCAGAACACCGUUGGAUUCCUCGUGGCCACCAAAGCUCUGCUAACUUGAACCUGGAGGGGCGCAAAACAAAAUUGAGUGGGUCAGUAAAACAAAGUUUUUCGAAAACUUUUCAUUUAAAACAUUUCUAACCCCUCACCGUAAAACCUGUAUACUUUCCCAGAAAAUAGCAUAUAUAUAAACAUAUAUAUAAGCAAAACUCUCAAAUCUCAAACCUUUAACACUUUUCAGAAAUAUAUAUAUAUAUAUAUUAUAUAUAACCAUAUAAAUCUCAAAGCUUGAAUCCCAAAUCUUUAACAUUUUUCAAGAAAAACAUGCCAUGCCAUCAAUCAAAAUAUAAAUCAGGUGAAAUAAGGAAUCAAUCGGAGACCCUGCAGUUGGUCCUAUACGAUUAAUUCAAUAGCUCAAUAUCUCACUAAGCCGGAGUCACCACAGUGACCUAUACGGCCCUACUCUGCACAUCACUCGGAACUACGUAAGGUAGUCUAUACGAUGAAAGGUGUAAAAUACGCUCUAGUGCUUCUCUCAUCAUAUCAUCAGCGCGCAUAUCUAAGGUCACCCACCAGUCGGAACCCCUCUAAUGGUCUGUACGACUGGCAUGUCGGAACCCUCACAUGGUCUGUACGACAUCCACCUACUUGGAUCCAAGGCGAGCGUGCGGUGUGGUGAAUAAUAUAAGCACUAACACCUAGGGUGCAGAUUAUGAGCUCAAACAUCGAAACAUCAAUCAAUUAAAUGAAUAAUGAACUCACCUGACGUACCUGUGCCUCCACAGCACCAUGCAACAUGUAUGCAUCAUAUAUCAAUCAUGUAAUUCAUAUAACAAUUCACAUUUUCAAAUAAUUCUAUGCAUGGCAUUUUUAAAGCAUAUCUUCAUAUAUAAAUUCAUUUUCUGGGAAAAAUCAAUAGUAUAAAGGUAAUACAAAAACAAAACUGCCCACUCACCUGGAGUUCGCCCACAACUCCCUAGCAGCACCGUACAUCAAGGCGUCAUGACGAUUAGCGCCUAGAACAACAAUCAAAAUCCAACCUCAGAAAUUCUGCCGAUAGAAUACAUAACUUAUAUAAGACACGUCACUACGUAGUUCGAUCCGGAUGAUCUGCAAUUCAGAUUUCAAAUCCGUAACUUCCAGAGGUCCACAAUAUACCUCUAGGACAACAUCCUAAAAUUUCAUUACCAUCCAACGGUCGGAUCUUCGUCAAUUUCCAAAACUAAGUGACGGUUAACAUUCUAUUUUAUGAACUUACAACUUCAAUUCCGGAAGAUCCGUAAAUCGGAUUCCCAAUCCGUAAGUUCCUAUAAUCCUCAAAUAUUACGUAUUACAACGUAUCAAAGUUUGAUGACGAUCCAACGGUCGGAUCGUCAAUUCACAUUUUCACCUAACCACGAAUCGUAACCAACUUAGGUUCAAUUAUUCAAUUUACGUCCAUCAAUUAUCAAAACAGAACCUAGAACCUUAAUCACAAGCUAAUAAUGACAUUGGCGGGCCAUUGGCCACGCGCCGCCGCGCGGGCCGCCGCGGGUGGCGGUUGGCCGCCGCGGGUGGCGGUUGGCCGCCCCCGGCUCGCCGGAAAAUUCAACUAUUUCCAAAAAUUACCAAAAUUUGCAGAUUUGAAGAUCUCAAUGAGUAGAACAACUUUCAUACCUGAGACCAAUGCUAAUUUGGCCUGGAAGUGCUUCAAUUUCACCAAAACCGUGAAGAACCCUAGAAUUUGGGUGUUUCCAAUUCGACCUUCAAACUUGUUCCAACGCCUCAAUUACCUCUUGGGCUUUGUUCUAGGUCCUAAAGGAAUGCUAAAGGUGUUAGUAAUUGAAAGAAAACAUUUCAAAAUUUGGAGAAUUUAAACAAAAGGGUCGCGGCACCCGUAGGGGUGUUCUUCGCGAAAUCACAACGAAAUUCAAUGAUUCUUGGGGUGAAACGUGAAGAGGGAAGGCCUAGAUGAUGAUUAGGAGUGGUACCUUGACUCAAUUUGUCGGAAAAUUGGACGAAAACGGCGAAAACCCGCCGAUUUGGAAGCUUGGGUCGCGCGGGUCAAGGGUGACCCAUUCCUCCUGUUCCCCCGUGCACCACUCUCCCUCCUUUCCCUCCUUUCCGUCCCCUGAUUGGUCAGCUUCUUCCUCUCCCUUCUUCUGGUUCACUCUCAUCUUCUUCUUCUCCGAUUGGGCAUUUCUGCCCAGUCUCUUCUUCUUUUCUGUUUUCUGUUUCUUCUUCUCAUACACAUACACACACCAAAAACCUUUCCCUCAUCCCAGCCAUCCAUUUCAUUCAUCAAUAAAUCUGGGCCGUCCAAUUUCAUAAAAGAAUUUCUAUAUUUUACUAAAAUUAUAAUUCCUUAAAAUUCCAAAUUUCAAACGUUAAUAACUUCUUCGAUAUAACUCCAAAUCACGAACCGUCUGCGCCCACGUCCGUAACGACGAGUACUACGAGGAUAUGUCAAGAAAACAAAUCUUAGAUGGCACGACACAACGAUUAACCUCGAAUGAUGUGCGUGCCUCAAAGGGCAUUUUUGUAAAAUCCUUUAUUAAAACUUUAAAAAUUCUUAAAAUUAGGGACGGGCUGUCACAGGUUGCAAACCGAAGUUCAGGUAUUUAAAAGGUUUUAUAGCCAAAAUGAUUCCUGAGAUUUGCAUAACACAUUACUUUGGUUUCUGAGAUUGAAAAUCAAUAGAAAUGGUUCCUGAGAUUGUCCAUCCUCCAUUAUUUUGGUCAUUCCGUUAAAAACUCCGUUAAGUGUCCCGGAGCUCUUAGCCGAAAGUUUGGACAAUUUCAAAGUUUCGUAACUCAAUCGUUUCUUAACCAAAUUCAAUCCAUAGUAUAUCAAAAUGAAGAUAGGAAAGUGUAGAAUAAGAUUAUACCUAUUUAGAAACCCAAUGGUUGCCUGAGAUGGCUUGGAAAAUAGCCUGAAAAGUGAAUGGUCAGCGGGAAAACUAGAAAACUCCCCUGAAAUUGGGUAAAUUUUAAAUGUUCAUAACUUCUUCAAUAAUCAACAAAAUCGAGUGAUUCAAAAACAAAAGUCAUACUUCUCAACGAGACGAAUACAAUGGUACCUUUAUCAAUGGCUAAUUCUCUAUGGUUUGGCCGGAAAAUGUCUCAAAAGUGGCUAACUCGAGACCAAGAUAGCCACUUUCGAACCGUUUUUCGGCCAAAACACGGCGAGUUAGCCGUCAAUAAAGUUACCAUUCUCUUUGUCUCGUCAAGAAGUAUGAUUUUUGUUUUUUAAAUCACUUGAUGUAGUUGAGUAUUGAAGAAGUUAUGAACGUUUAAAGUUUACCCAGUUUCCGGCGAGUUUUUCAGUUUUCCCACGGACCAGUCACCUUUCAGGCCAUUUUCUGGCCAUAUCCGGCAACCAUUGGGCUUCCAAAUGAUAUAAUCUUGUUCUACACUUCCCUAUCUUCAUUUUGAUAUAUUAUGGGUCGAAUUUGGUUAAGAAACAAUUAAGUUACCAAGCUUUGAAAAUUGCAUAUGAGAAUCUGAUGACAAGUUAUUGUCUGGAUUACCGAAAUAAAUCAUACUUAACUGUUUAACUGACCAAUAUUCUUAAGAUUUCGUGGUUUUCUACUAUCUAGGGCCCAUCUCAAAAUUAUCUAUUUCGUAUCGUCUUGGUUACAUACUAACUCCUAUCUGGUAAAAAAGAUGAGGUGGGGGCGAGAAUGUUAACGGAGAGUUAGACUGAAAUGUUAAUUUUAGGCUUGAAUUCUAAUAGACAUCACUAUGAGGGUUUAAAUUCUAAUUUUCUUCACCAUGGGCUAUCUUCCAAUUAUCCUAUCAUCAUGAGACUGUUAAUCUAAUUUAGCUUUUACAUUUAGUGAGCAUUAUUUUUAAUACGGUUUUCUUUGUUUAGAUUCUCAUAGAAAACUCGCUGCAAAAAAAAUAUGGGUUUCGAGUUGGGUGGUUGAGAAUAUGGACUGAUCAUUUUAUUGCAGAUUUUGAACCAUUAGUAUCAAGGUGAAAAAAUGACCAACAAGAGGUGUUGGCAUUCAAUUUUAAAAUUUUCGUCAACAUGACAGCACUAGAUAAUUCCCAUUACUUAAAAAUAUUGUGGUGUUUCUGACCGAAAGCUUGCAAGUAUCUCUAAAAUUGAUUUAGUUGGUUUCUCCUGACCACAAUGCAGGACUUCUCAUGACCUUUUUUUUUAUGUAGAAGUUCGUUUCUAAUCAAACCAACUUUUGAUUUAAUAGCAGGUGGGAUCUUAGAUAGGAUAAAUGUCAAAGCAACAUAGAAGGAGAUGAAAAAUUAGUUCAAAAGUUGUUUUUAUUUCUUUAAACUACUAAGACAUGAGCCUUAUUAUGUAAAUGUGCUACUGUCGUUGCACCGAAACAUAAUAGUCAGUUUAGUAAAUUUCAUUUUUCAUAUUUAUAAAAACAUGUAUCAAAUCACAAACGUUCUACAUAGAUGAAUGCAGUAAAGCUCUAUAACUCACACGUAGAGCCCUGUGAUUAAAAAAAGGUCUUUUGAAUGUGUGUGAGUGCAUGCAAAAAUGCUAGUAUGGUCUAAAAAAUGGUCUCUUUAACUAGCAUUUUCCUUAUUCAGCUCAUAUUGUAAGUUGUAACUAUUUCCUACUUGGACUGUUUGAUAGAUGAUUAUUAUGUGUGGGAUAUUAUUAUUUUUAAAUCGUAUAUAAAGUAGAUAAUAUUGGAAUGUUGUUAGAUUCAUGGAAGAAAAUGCCGAUAAUAUCGGCGAAAUAUCGCCGAUAUUAUCGGUUUUUCGGGUGAUGGAUAUUCUAAGUGGUAUCCGAAUGGUUUUUAGCCAAAUAUCGCGAUAUUAUCGAUAAUAUCGAUAAUAUGGCGAUAUUUUGGAAAUAUCGGCGAAAUUUUUUUGAGUUUGGUGCAAUCGGACUCCGAGGCGACGUCGGAGAAGAACGCUGGAGACGGUGUGCCUAUUCCCGGGCCGAUUUCGUCCCAAAAACCUUGCAAAAACACGAAUUUUAACAUCAAUUUCACAUAUAAACUUCAGAUUUCACGCAUGCAUAAACGAUUCAACAUAUGUGAAGUCGGUUUAGGGUUUAGGGUUUCAAUGGAAUCUCACCUGACGAAGACGAAGACGAACCAGAUGACUGAACGUGAUCCUUGCUCAGUGGCGCACCGCCAGAGACGACUGAGCCAACUCCGACUUCGCCAGAGCCACGAUCAACGGCGAAGGGAGAAGAGAGAUCGAGAGAUCUCUGUGUGUGUGUGUGUGUUUGGGAGAAGAGAGAUCGGAGAUCUCUCUUUGUAUGUGGGUGUUUGGGAGAAGAGAGAUCGGAGAAGGGAGAAGAGAGAUCGGAGAAGGGAGAAGAGAGAUCGGAGAAUGGAGAAGAGAGAUCUCCGAUCUCUGUGUGUGUGUGUGUGUUUGGGAGAAGAGAGAUCUCCGAUCUCUGUAGAUGGAGGGUGUGUGCGUGUGUGUGUGUGUGGAAUGAGGGAGAAGUGUGUGUGUGUUAUCCGAGAGAAAGAAAAAAAUACAUUGAGGGUGUGUGUGUGUGUGUGUUUGUGGCACACGGUUUGACACAUGGUUUUGUAUAAAACCAUGGUUUUGUGUGUGUGUGUGUUCACGUGUAUGGUUAUGUGUGUGUGUGUGUAUGGUUAUGUGUGUGUGUGUGUUAUCCGAGAGAGUUUUGGCACAUGGUUUUGUAUAAAACCAUGGUUUUGUAUAAAACCAUGGUUUUGUGUGUGUGUGUAUGUGUGUAUGGUUAUGUGUGUGUGUGUUAUCCGAGAGAAAAAAGAAAAAAACUUUGAGGAUGUGUGUGUGUGGCACACGGUUUUGUAUGAAAUAAUUGGAAGUGACUUUGCUUAGAAGAACCAAAUAUUCUGUCAGAGAAGAACCAAAAAAUCUGCUUACUUUAUCUUCUUCUCCACGUGAAGACCAAAUUCUGUCAGAGAAGAACCAAAAAUGCAAUGUAUAAAGUGUAAAAUAUUGUACUAAUUCAUUAUAUAUAAAUGAUUAUGGUGUGUUUAGACUUCUUUCAUUAAUUACUACAUAUUUUCUACACUCACAAUGUUUGUCAGCUCGCUAUAUAAUCAACUUGAUAAUGUUAAAUCCAUCAUGCAAUGCAUUUCCUUCCAAUUUUUUGUGAUAAACUAAUAGAUAAUUGACUAAAUAAACAUCCUGCAAAGUUUCAAUAAAAAUUUCCAAGUUUUUCUUACAAUUUCCGUGGUUUCCAUGUAAUUUUUAUCGAUAUCGAUAUUAUCCCAAUAUUUCCAUCGAUAUUUCCGUGUUUUCGGACUACCGAUAUUUCCGAUAUUUUCUUCCUUGGUUAGAUUCACCUCAAUGUCUUAUUUCCCCACUCACAUACUCUCACCCACCACAAAAGUUAAAAAACUGAAAUGUUAUUUUUUCACCCACUAUUAUUUCUAAAGUAACCUCUAAUAAGCUCAACCAAGCCUUCACUCACCACCAAGGCCUCCCUUCCCGAUUUUUAUUUUGGUUCGAGUUUCAGAAUUUGGUCUUUUCCCAAUUUGCAACUCUCCUUCCUUCCCUCUAUCCAGACUCAACGCAACCCCAUUUCCUCCCCCCUUUCAAUAUUUUCUUCAUUUACCAUUGCUUGUUUGCUUAUUAAAAAGCUGGAAUUUAUUUUAAAAGUAGUUUGCUUUUUUUUAUUUGAACUCAUAUAACUUUAUUUUACACUUAUUUUAUAUUCUACACUCAUUUUAUUUUUAAUUAAACUAUUAAUAUCUCUUUAACCCUAAUUUACUACCUAAACUAAACUACACUCACAAACCCAAUUUAAUAUGCAAAUUGAGCUUUACACCCAUUUCAAAAUAAAACUCAAAAUCAAAGCAUAUGUUCUCUUCUCUAACAUUCUUUCCCACGUCCAUCGUCUUUCCUUUUUAAUUCUUCAUGAUUUAAUAGAAAUUGAAAUUGAAAUUAAUAAAAGUUGUGAGAAUUAAUUUAUCUUUUAGGUUUUCAGGAGAACGGCAUACAACCAUCCUUUAUGUGAUUACCAUGUUGGAAAAGCUUGAUCUUUUGAGGCUAAGUUCCAUAAAGGAGUGGGUGAUCACCGUAUGAGUUGGAAAAAACUUGAUAACAUCCUUUUUGCCCACUUUCUGAUGCUUUUAUGAGAAAUUUGAGGCGCAAGAAAUUCAAGGUUAUAGAACUGGAAGAUUGAGCAGCCCAACUUGACCACCUCUCGAACUCUGAAACAAAAUUGGCGGAUGAGGAACUUGCUUGAGCAGAAUAUCAAGCUCCUCAAAAACCCAUCUGAAUUAUGAACGACCUUCUUUAUUAAGCUAUUACCUUCUUGAAGUAAUUUGGGAUUAACUUUUGCUCCAAUUCAACACCUUUUUAUGGCUUCUUCAUCAUAUAAUUUAUGUUUAGAUUUUAGUUUGGAGCCAACUGAUAUUCUAAUCAUUCCUGGCCACUACCCAGUUGAUGGGUUCUGACCGUGGCAGGUUCAGCUUGGAGGUGGGGGUGACAUGAUUUUUCUUUAUUUUGUUUUUUCAUAUUAUUUGUUAUUUUGGUUAUUUUAAUCUUUAUUUUUUAAUUCUGUUGUCCAAAAAGCUUAUUAGCGGGGACUAUUGUUACCACACGUACAAUUUUAACAAAAAAUAUUAACUGGAGCUUUACAGAUGUGAUUUUUAAUAUGUUGAUUACUUAUUUGAAAUAUUUAAUUAAAAAUAUUAAGAUUAACCUGAAAUGACACUAAAAGGAUAAGAGUUAUAUGUACUUAUAUAUUUUCUUUUUUAUCGGGUGUCUUUGUUAUGUCAGACCAAGAAAAAACAUGUUUGGAUGAUUAUGUAUGUUGAACAUGGACGCAUUUUGAGGACAAUUAGCGUGUCAAGACAAAUUUUGGUACCAAUUACAAGUUGGACGAAUAUGAUUUGAAACGAGGAAAAUUAGCGUGUUGGACGCAUAAUUACUUGUUACCCUUUUUUUUUUUUGGGUCAAAGGAUAGAAAUGUAUUAAAAGUCAAAUACGAAUGAAAACAUUUGCAUCUUCAGCUAGAAUAUUAAACAAAAAUUGAGGUCCUAAUACAUCCCAACCAUAACUCCCACCAUGCUUAAGAACGUACGCCGCCACCAUAUGGGCUGCACGAUUGUAUUGUCGAGGGGUAAAGAUAAACUUCACCGAUUGGAAUGACUGCAUUAUAUUCCAAAUAUCAACUAAAUAUACCUCCAGCAACACAUCAUCUUUUAAUUCUUUCUUGAAUUCCAAGUUUCUAUAUUUAGCUUUAUCAUACUUUGCUUCAUCUUACACAGUAGGUCGGAAAAAGUGAGUAUGAUUAUAUACCAAUAUAUUAAAGGAAACUUUAACGAAAAGCUCUCGAUACUGUCAACUUUAACGAAAAACCAUAUUUUUACACUAAAAAGUCAAUCCUAGUACUAUUCACUACCCUUUAUUUUGUCUUUAUCGUUAAAAUUCAAAGUUUUCAUUAGUUUUCCUUAUAUUAAACUCAUAUAAGAAUCACAUUUCUACAGUAAACCGGAAAAUUUGAAUGAAAUACCAAUUUAUUGAAUUUAUGAGUUCAAUAUAUUGGACACAUGACUUCAAUAUAUCAAACUCAUAAAUGUGGUACAAAUAUAUAUGGAGUAUGUCAUACUCCAGGAACCAUAAAUUUUUUGUUGCUAACAUAGAUUCAUAGGUCUUAUAAGUUGCAAGUCAUUUCCAUCCUCUAUAAAUGUUUGUUAAGUUAAUUGUGCAGUACAGAAGUAGAUAUUUCGGGUCACUAUGGGCAAUAAAGAGGCAGCGCAGCGCAUCAAGGCAACAGGCAAAGUCUUGAAGCAUAGAAAAAUCAAAGGUAUCAAUAGCCAAUGUUCAACGUUAGUUGCCAUUGCUGUAACCAAACCCAGUAAGUCCGAAAAAAGGGAGAACAAAAAAAAAUCCCUUAGCUACAUAGAGUUCCUGCAUUACCAACAAAAGAACAAUUUUAAGAUUAAAAAAAAAAGAUGUGAUCGUAAUUCUUUAGAUUGAAAAUAAUAUUAGGGGAAAAUUAGGUUCGCAUCCUUCUUUUUGUUACUACAUUGAUUAAAAUCCUAUUCAUUUUAAAUUUUUUAUCAAGGUCCUUGUGUAUUAAUAACAUCAUUAAUUAUUUGAAUAAUAAAAUAUUUUUAUUUUUAAAUAUAUUCCUUUAGUGUUAAAAAUGUUACGAUUAGUAUAUUUAUACUUAUGGCUAAAUUUUUUUAUCAUAUAUUUUUAUUUUUAGUUUGUACCUAUUUUUAAUUUGCAAAUAUUUUUUAAUUUGUACCAAUUUUCUUUUCAUUUUUAAUUUGUACCCAUAUAUUAGUUUCUUUUUGUGCCCAUAUUUUUUAAAGUUUUAUUUGUGUUUGUACCCAUGUGUAUACCAUCACGUGACAUUGUAUAUUUAAUCAAUGAUAGAAAAAUUACAUUUGGUAUAUUUAUGUUUUAUGCCUAAACUUUGUAUCAUAUAUUUAUAUUUUUAGUUUGUACCCACUUUUAAUUUGCAACAUUUUUUUUAAUUUGUAGUAUUUUUUUUUAGUUUUAUUUUGUACCCAUGUCUUAAUUUCAUUUAGCGCCUAUAUUUUUAAAAAUUUAUUUGUACUCAUAAUUUUUAAUGUUUUAUUUGUACCCUCAUUUAUUUAUAAUGUACCCAUUCUUCUUUAUUAAUGUACCACUUUGUUAUAUGUGAAAUGUACCAAUUUUUUUGUAAAAUGUACCAAUUUUUUUAGGGCAAAAGACUGUUUACUACCCUGAAGUUUUAUGGUUUUCAACAUUUAGUACAUCAAGUUUUUUUCGUCUCAGAGUCAUACCUAAAGUGUUAAUUUUGGGACAGUCUCAUACAUCUGUUAGUCAAACUGUUAAAUCUGCCGUUAACUGAUGACGUGGUGCCCAUGUGGACAAUGACUGGACGCCACGUGUCAUUAAGAGGUCCGCGUGGAUUUUUUUUUUUUUUUGAGAAGGGGUUCAAAAAAAAAAAAAAGUAGUGGUUCCUAAAACUGCAGCAACCAUGGCUUUAUCUUCAUCAUCCCAAACCCCUCAUCCUAAACCCAUCUUAAUCUUCAUCUCCAAAAUCCAAAAAAAAUCAACAACCCUACAAAAAUCGAGCUAAAACUUUCAAAACCUAGAUCAAAUCUCAGCCCCAAAUACCCCCUAAACCAUGAAAAAAAAAUCAAACAACAAAGAAAUCUGGAAAAUCCAAUAAAAACCCAAAUCCAAGUUUCUGUCGAUCCGCACGCAGAGCCAUGAAGAUCAGAACUUUGAAGCUCCGAGAGGCCCACGAGCAGCGACGGGUGGCCGUCGUACUGAUCGGUGCUGUGGGACCAGUAGGCCUACCAAGUCGUGACGACGUCCUCCUCCGACCCCACAAUCACCAUCCACGACUCUCUUAUCCUGUCCAGCCAUCCCAAGCUCAUCCGUCACCGCUGCGACAGCGUCACGGCUCUCACUCUCAGCCCCAAUUCCACCUGCCUCACCUCCAGCUCCGUCAACCACUUCGUCAAGCUGUUUCCUGGUCAAUAUCUCCCAACCAAGCAAAUAAACAACACCCAGAUCUGAAUUUCCAUCCAAAAUCAAAUACAACAAAUUAGGGUUUCGUAAUCUGAGAAAUUGGGAUCUGAGAUUUGGGUAUAACAAGGUGAAAAAUAACAAAUUCAUAAUAAAGUUUGAAGCUUUUAAAUAUACAAAUAUGCACAAGAAUGUAAAUGGCAGGUUAAUAGUACAAGGACCCAUAUAUUCAAAUUUUAGAUAGAGAAAGAGAGACUGUGAGAGAGGGGAGAAAAGAUAGGAUAAAGGAGAGAGAAAACUUACUCAAGUGGGUGUAAACGGCUCUUUAGGGUUUUGCCCUUCUGGCGAGAGAGAGAGGAGAGAGAAACCUAAGAGAGAGAAAGAGAGGAAAGAGGAAAGAGGAGAGGAGAAGAGAGAGGAGAGAGGGGAGCGAGUGGUGGAGAUGGAAGUUGGCGCGGGCGAGGGAGCAAGGGGCUUACUGUUAAGGUGUACAAGGGAAAUAUGACUAAAUAAAAACCAACUACUAGCAGCAUUACUAGCUAAGAUAAAGUGCUAAUGUGAGAUUAAAUGUAAAUUACACAGCCAGAGCAUAAAUAUCCUAGAUGCAGUCAAGCAGGACAAGUACUAGAUAUAGAUAACACCCAAAGGUGAUCCUACAUUUAUGAUGUUCUGUCAGAACCACCGUUGAAGUCCUCGUGAGUCACCAAAAAAAACCCAAACCAAAUCCAGUUUGUCCCCCCUUUCCCCACCAUAAACCCAAUCCCUUGCAACCCAGAAAGAAUAAGGAGGAAGAAGAAGAAGAAGAAGAAAAGGAAAAAAAAAACAAAAAAUGGAAACCGAGUUCGUCCGUCCCUCCCACCCCACCUGCAGAAGAAGAAGAGAGAGAAGGAAAAAAAAGGGUAUGUCCCCCCCCCCACCCACACCCAACCUGCAGAAGAAGAAGAAGAAGAAGAGAGAAGGAAAAGCAAAAAAAAAAUGACACCCAGUUCGUCCAUCCGCCCCCGCAUACCCACCCACCCUCUUCCUUCCACAUCCAUUCCCCCCAUUUUCCCGAUUCCACCUCAACGGGAUCUAGUUUUUUUUUUUUGGGUUACAGGUAGUGGGUGCAAGGUUGGGUGCAGAGGGCGGGUAGGAAGGUGGGGAGGUUGGGUGCAGGGAGAAGAGGGGGUGGGGAGUGGGGAAGACAAAUUGGUUUUUUUUUUUCUCUCUCUCUUCUUUUUUCUGGGUUGAAGUUGUAGGAAUGGGGAAGAAGAGAAGAUGGGGAGAAGAGAGAGAAGGGGGGGGGAAGGGGACGAACUGAUUGUUGGUUUUUUUUUUUUUUUUACUUUGCUUUAUUAUUUUAAUAUUUAAAAAAUAUUAAAUGAUUUUUUUUUUUUUUAAUAGAAAAUGGGCCCUGGAUCAAGCCACGUCAGCAUUUAACUGAGAAAUUCACGCCAAGCUAAUGGAAGGUAUAACAUUGGCACAAAUUCAUAAGAUGAGAUAUGACAUUAUCAAUUUUAAAAGAUGAGGUAUGAAAGUGUCGUGACACCAAUAGUUGAGGUAGUUUUUUUUACUUUACCCUAAAAAAUAUUUGCAAAUUAAAAAUAGGUACAAACUAAAAGUAAAAAUAUAUGAUAAAAAAAAAUUUAGCCAUAAAUAUAAAUAUACUAAUUGUAACAUUUUUCACACUAAAAGAGUAUAUUUAAAAAUAAAAAUAUUUUAUUAUUCAAAUAAUUAAUUAUGUUAUUAAUACCCAAGGACCUUGAUCAAAAAUUUAAAAUGAAUAGAAUUUUAAUCAAUGGAGUAAUAAAAAGAAGGAUGUGAACCUAAUUUUCCCUAAAGAAUUAUUCCUCAAUCCACUAUGUUUCGAAUUCAAACAUCUUCAUCUCUAGUGUAAAUUAAAGUAGUAAUAUUAUUUUAUUAUAAAAAAAAGAUAACAUUACUCUUUUUAUAAUAAAUUAUUAGUGGCUUCAUCAAAUUAUUAUGCAUUGUAAUUUAUAUAUGUCAACCAUUUACCUUCACACUUAAUGGUGUUACAACAUGACGUUAACAUUCAACAUUUAAAUUACAAAAAAUGUAAAUCAUACUAUAUUCGUCAAAGUUUAUAGUUCAAUGCUACGUAAUAAUACCAAUAAGGUUAUACCUAACAACAUAGAAUGAUAGUGUUAUUAUUGCAAUUAGAUUAGUGCUACUUUGCCGACACCUUUUUGUUGGGUUUUUUGGCUCAAAAUUAGGAUGAUGCAAUAAAUUAGGUUUGUGUUACCUAUUUGGUUUUGGUGUCCUAUUUGGAUUUGGUUUUGACUUCUUAGUUAGUUUCCUUGGUGGAGAGAUUUUUUUUAGUUACCUAUUUGAUUAGGAUUUGGAUUUAUUUCCUAUUAGGAUUCUUAUUGUAACCUAAGUCCUAUGCACUAUAAAUAGGACCUUAGGGUUAGUGUAUUUGGUGUGACUCAUUCGUGUGGCAAUUUGGUGAGAGUCAAUUUGUGAGUUUGUGAGUUAAAGAGCAAUUUCGGAAAAUCUUCUUCAUUAGUUUGGGUUCUCUACUCGUUUGGUUUACGGUUUGUAAUUUGUGGGAUUUGGGUUGUGAGAGUUUAAAACACUCUUUUGUAAUCUCUGUUUGUUUAGUGAAAUUCCUCGCUGUGCUUCGCUCGUGGACGUAGGCUUUACGCCGAACCACUUAAAUCUCUUGUGUUAGUUUGAGAUUGUUUAUUUUAGCUUUCACCUACGACAUUGAUAUUGAUACUUUGUUAGAAUUCGCUUCCGUUUGUGAAUAAAAGUACAACAAGUGGUAUCAGAGCCCAGGUUUCAGCUUGGGCUUUGCUUGGCAAUCACUAUGAAGCCUUAUGUGCCAUCGGUGAAAGUUGAUAUUGAAAAGUUUGACGGCAAUGACUUUGGUAUUUGGCAAUUGAACAUGCUUGCUUUGUUAGUUCAACAAGGGCUUUUGAAAACACUAAAGGGUGUGAAGGCUUUGCCGAAUUCGUGGACUGAUGAAGAAAAAGAAGACGUUAUGGAACAGGCACUUAGAGCAAUCAUGCUGACUUUAUCAAAUGAAGUCUUGCAUAAAGUUGGUAGCAUCAAAUCUGCACCGGAGUUGUGGAUAAAAUUGGAGAGCUUGUAUAUGACCAAAUCCCUUGCUAAAUGGUUGUAUUUGAAGAAAAGUUUGCAUACUCUUCGUAUAGAUGAAGUUACAUAACACAUCCCGACCCGGAUUGUCCACUGGGACUCCAAAUCGAGUUGUGCUGGCCAACACCUGGAAGGUGACGAUGCCAUAAAGUGUGGUGAUGUGGAAUAUGUGAAUAAAUUUAAACCUAAAAAUGCAUAAACAUGAGAGUGCGCUGUGAGCAGGAAUGAACACAUUUCACACGUGACAUUAGAGCAUAAGUAAAGUACAGUAGACUGGAUUGAAAAUCAUACCGUUAAAGGUAAUCUCCAUUACCAAGACUUGCCACGAAUCCUUAUCGAUACGAAAACUCUGCUACUAGAACCUGGAGGGAUAAAAACAAAAGCGAGUGGGCCUGGAUAUAAAGCCUUAAUAAAGACCUUCUAAACGAUACAACCCUUUGUUGUAAUACCUGUAUAGCUUCCAAGAAAUCAUACUACAUAUAAAUAUGAAGUCAAAUGUAAAUCAACAUUAAAUCCAAGAAUAAUCCAAAAUCACUACAUAUCGGCAACAACAUAAUAAAAUCAGGUGCUCAUCAAUCUAUGAUAACCCACGAGUCGGAGUUGCCUAACGCAACCUGUGCGAUUCAUAAAUCAAUCUAUGAUAGCACAUGAGUCGGACUUGCCUAACGCAACAUGUACGACUCAUAGGCAAUUUGUACGACAGUGUCGAAGUUGCCUAUUAUUGCAACCUGUACGACAGUGUCGGAGUUGCCUCCUAUUGCAACCUGUAUGACAGUGUCGAAGUUGCCUAUUAUUGCAACAUAUACGACAGUGUCAGAGUUGCCUCCUAUUGCAACCUAUAUGACAGUGUCGGACUUGCCUAUUAUUGCAACUUGUACGACAGUGUCGGAGUUGCCUCCUAUUUCAACAUGUACGCCUAUUAUUGCAACAUGUACGACAGUGUCGGAGUUACCUCCUAUUGCAACCUGUACGACAGUGUUGGAGUUGCCUAUUAUCACAACCUAUACGAUAGUGUCUGGAGUUGCCUCCUAUUGCAAUAUGUACGACAGUGUCAAAGUUGCCUAUUAUUGCAACACGUACGACAAUGUCGGAGUUGCCUAAAACACUAAUAUAGUCAUGCCAUAACUCAAUCAAUUCAAAUAACACCAUAAACUUACCUGAACUUACUUGUACGUCUCGCGUUCACCUUAGUACUUCAAGGCAUUCACAACAAUUAUAUGUAGGUAAUAUGCAUAUGGUUAUACCAUGAUGCAGUAUAAAACUCAACCAUAUCAUAGUAUUUUAGAAUAUAUAUAUAUAUAUAUAUGUAUAUAUGACAUGGCAUAAAAUGCAUAAAUCAAUUUAGAAGCGUUUGUGGAACUAUCAAUUAUAUACAUACGAUAAAAAAGGAAAAAACCCACUCACCUGAGGUCCGUGCUACAACUCCCUAGCACGAAUAUCGAGACAUCACUAACGAUCCUCACCUAGAACAAUUAUUUAGUCCCGUCUCAGAACUCUUAUCAAUAGAACAUAUAACUUACGUAAAACACAUCCCAAUGACGUUCUAGAAUAAUUCGAGACCCAUUGACCAAAAGUCAAUCGUCGGUCAAAGAUCAACAAUAGGGUCCACAACGUUACGUAAAUUGAUCCGAAAGAUCCGCAUCUCGGAUUUAUAUUCCGUAAUUUCAAAAGAUCCACAUUGUGCUUCUAAAACGUCAUACUAAAGUUUCAUUACGAUCCAACGGUUGGAUCUCCGCCAAUUGCCAAUUCAAGCACCAGUCAACGUUUUAUUUUACGAACUUACAAAUCUAAUUUCGGAAGAUCUGUACUUUGGAUUCCCGAUCCGUAAGUUUUUAUGGUCCUCAAACAUUAAGUACUAUAAUUUAAUUAAGUUUAGUGACGAUCCAACGGUUGGAUCGUCGGUUACUAUAAUGUUCAAGCGGCGGACCUUAACGGAACUAGAUUUGUAAGGGGUACCUCGGUCUACGCGUCGCCGCACACGCUGCCGCAGGUGGCGGUCGACCGCCCCAACUUGCCGGAAAAUUCAACUAUUUCUAAAAUUUACCAAAAUUUACAAGAAUGAAGAUCUCAAAGAGAGGAACAACUUUCAUACCAGCCACGAAGUCCAAAAAUAGACGGAAGAUGGUCAAUUUUGCCCACAAAACUGAUGGGUGCCUAAAGCUUCAUGGUGUCGAUUCGUCGUCUACGGUGGUCCAACGGGGUCAAGGUUGGUCAGAAUUUUCUCCUGGGAUGAUGGGCUAUAAAGCCCAAGUGUUGACAUUGGCCAUCGCUUUGCCGAUUCGCUGAAAAAUUGAAAAUGGUGGCCGGAGCACUGUUGAUUUUCGUGGCCUCAAACCGCCAUAUACCAUGGUUAAUCAAGGUGGUUCUUGGGUGGGUUUUGUAAAGGGGAAUGAGAUCUUCAAGAUGGUGGUGGUGGCGUCGAAAAACUCCACCAGAGUUGGUCGGAAUCGGCCUUGGAAAAUGAGAGGUCGCAGAGGUGUGGGUGAUAGGGAAUCUGGGAGCUUUCUCCCUUUUAUGUGAUGGGUCAUUUGUGCCUAAAAUUUGAUUGGGCUACUUCCUUGAAGGAGUUAAAUUAAUUUACAAAUUGAAAUAUAAAUUAAAAAUUUCAAAAGUCCAUAACUAUACCGUUAUAAUCCGGACUCGCAAAUGGCUUUCGCCUAUACGUUCGUACCAAUAAGUACUACAAGGAUACGCUAAAAGAAAAAGUCAUACGUUCCUCUAGACGAUGGUAAACGAAAGUGAAAGUCCUUGCCUCUAGGGCAUUUUUGUAAAUUCACACUUUUAAAACUAAUAAAAAACGUCAAAUUAAGGGUGUCACAGUACAUCAAUUCAUAAGCAUGUUGAUGAAUUCAAUUUACUUAUGAUGGAUUUGAAAAGUGUGGACGACCAAAUAAGUGAUGAGGAUUAUGCGAUAAUUUUUUUGUGUUCUUUAUCUCCUUCGUAUGAACACUUUGUCGAUACCAUGCUAUUUGGUAGAGAAAGUCUUAGUUUGGAAGAUGUUAAAGUCGCUUUGAAUUCUAAAGAACUAAAGAAUAAAGUGUCUAACACACAAGAUGGAGCUUUGGUAGUUCAAGGAAGGAAUAAGGAAAGGAGCAAACUUGGAAAGAACACUUGUAGCUAUUGUUAUAAGGAAAGUCAUUGGAAAGUAGAUUGCCCUAAACUCAAGGGCAAAAAGAAGUUGUUUGAUAAGUCUUUUGCUAGUGUUGAUGCAAACAUUGCAGAAGAUAGUUGUUCUGAACUCCUCUAAAGGUUAUGUGAAGAGGUGGAGCUUGGUACUUAAGCUAUUUGGGUGGAGUGCAAUUCGCACUUUUUGUUCGUAUGUUCAAGCUUUUGCUUGGAUUUUGUUUUGUAUUUGUUAGUUUCCGUAAUGGAAUUUGUUGGAAAAGGUGUUGGAGGAAAUUUCAAGUUUGAAGACGUUUGGAAUUUUUGAGUCUAGGUGGAGAUCAGUUUCGAAAGAAUUUGGUGCAUGUUUGUGUUUGUAUUUUGGUAUCCCAAAUGUGAAGUUUGUAUUUGAUUUGGAAGUUUGCUAAUUUCUCCGAGGUGGAGAUUGUUGGUUUUUUGGCUCAAAAUUAGGAUGAUGCAAUAAAUUAGGUUUGUGUUACCUAUUUGUUUUUGGUGUCCUAUUUGGGUUUGGUUUUGACUUCUUAGUUAGUUUCCUUGGUGGAGAGAUUUUGUUAGUUACCUAUUUGAUUAGGAUUUGGAUUUAUUUUCUAUUAGAAUUCUUAUUGUAACCUAAGUCCUAUGCACUAUAAGUAGGACUUUAGGGUUAGUGUAUUUGGUGUGGCUCAUUCGUGUGGCAAUUUGGUGAGAGUCAAUUUGUGAGUUUGUGAGCUAGAGAGCAAUUUGGGAGAAUCUUCUCUGUUAGUUUUGGAUUCUCUACUCGUUUGGUUUAGGGUUUGUAAUUUGUGGGAUUUGGGUUGUGAGAGUUUAAAACACUUUUUUAUAAUCUCCGUUUGUUUAAUGAAAUUCCUCGCCGUGCAUCGCUCGUGGACGUAGGCUUUACGCCAAACCACGUAAAUCUCUUGUGUUAAUUUGAGAUUGUUUGUUUUAGCUUUCACCUACGACGUUGAUAUUGGUACUUUGUUAGAAUUCGCUUCCGUUUGCGCAUAAAAGUACAACACUUUUUACACUGUUAAGGUAUACUACAAUUACAUUACAAGAUCAUCGACAGCAUUGAAACGCAAUCAAAGAGUUUUUUUGGAGAAAUUAGGUUCUCAUCUUUCAUUUUGUUACUAUAUUGAUUAAAAUCAUAUUCCUUUUCAAUUUUUGAUCAUGGUCUUUGGAUAUUAAUAAUUAAUAACAUCAUUAAUUAUUUUAAUAAUAAAAUAUUUUUUUACUUCUAAAUAUAUUCAUUUAAUGUUUAAAAUGUUACAAUUAGUAUAUUUAUAUUUAUGACUAAAUUUUUUAUCAUAUAUUUUUUGUGACGACCCGUCCCUAAUUUUCCUAUGUAAUUUCUCCCCGAGUAUGUGUAUUGACGAUUAUGCCCUAAUUGGCAAGUGACGUGGACAUAUUCUUAUCGCUUUCAUUUUUACUUUUCGCUAUUGCAUAUAAAUUGUACACGUCGUUGCGGGUGUACGUAAAUUUUUAUCAGUGCGAAAACACUAUCCCGGAUAGAUUUUCGAUACUCUUUUCAGUAGAAAAUCUAAAACCAUAUCCCUAGUUUUUACCUAGCCCAUCCCUUGCACCCUCCUCCAUUAUUCACUCUCUCACCAAUCACAUCUUCCCCUCAUUUUUGUCCCCCAAUCAGAAAAGAGAAAAAGGAACCCUCUUUCUCUCGUUUCCCUCUCUCUCUCUCUCCCGUAUGCUUUCUCUCUCUGAAAAACCUUCAAACAAUCUUCAAAGCUCACAUAUUGAACCCAAAAACCGCACCAUUAUACUCCUCUCAUCUUCACGAUCACAACCAUGUUCUUGAAACCUGGUUUAGACGAGUUUUGACUCGUUAACUCGUGAGGUCUGACUCAGCCACACUAAGUUCGACGUGUUUUCGAACGAGUUAGGACGUUUUGAAACUUGGGAAAGUUUCUACACGACGUUUUAAAGGUCCUAGGCUUGUUUUGGAAGAAGGUCGAAGUGAAACGACCGAGUUUCAAAGAAUUCACUUUUGGCCGGAACUUUCGAGGCUUUUUCUGGCGAUCUCUGUCCACUUUUUGGACUCCAAACAGGUAUAACCCGAUUCUACUCUUCAUUAGCUUCAAAUCCAUAAAUAGUGCGUCGAAAAUGGUUGAGAAAUGAAGAAGAAUAGUGAAUUCAAAAAUUUUCCAGAAAUCUGGCAAAAAACCGAGUUGCAAACGGCGAUGGCAAGGUUUAUCGAAGAAGGAGACGAAAUAUUCCAUCAGAGUUGAUAGAAUAUUCCUGACAACGUUAGGUAACGCCGUUAAACGUCUGUUAGCUUUUAACGGAAUAUUCCGUGGAAUAUUCUUGAUGGACAUCAGGCACUGGUCUGCACGUGGGACGCGUCUCGCCAUGCCCUUGAUGGCGCGUGGGGGCGCAUGAGCCGUCCAAAAAAAAUUCUGAAAAUUUGGGGAUGUUUAUGACGUCGACUAGGUCACGAUGGUAUAUUUAAACCCUAUGUUUGAGUAAACUAUGGGCGUUUUAUUUAGGUUUCCUUAUAUGUGCUUUAAUUAAUUUUAUUUUAGUUAUUUCACGUAUAGGGGAAACGUAUCCCGAAGACAUUCGAGGUCAAGCUAGACGGUGGCGAUGGCAAGGUUCACCGAAUAAGGAGACGAAAUAUUCCAUCAGAGUUGACAGAAUAAUCCUGACAGUGUCAGGUAACGCCGUUAACGUCUAUUAGCUUUUAACGGAAAAUUCUUGACGGACAUCAGGCACUGGCCUGCACGUAGGGCGUGUCUGGCCAUGCCCUUGACGGCACGUGGGGGUGCAUGAGCGGUCUAAACAAUUUUCUGAAAAUUUGGGGAUGUUCGUGACGUCGAGUAGGUCACAAUGGUAUAUUUAAACCCUAGGUUUAAGUAAACUAUGGGCGUUUUAUUUAGGUUUCCGUAUAUGUGCUUUAAUUAAUUUUAUUUUAGUUAUUUCACAUUUAGGGGAAACGUAUCUCGAAGACAUUCGAGGUCAAGCUAGGCUCGGGGGUUAUGACCCAGCAACGUACUUGUGAGUGGACAAUUUAUUUUUAUAUCUAUAUGUAUUUAUAAUUUCCAAAAUUUCAUAAAUGCAUCACUUUGCGUAUAUAUAUUGCAAAAUAAUUGAUAUCUGCUAUAUAAUUGUGAUAAGUGUUGCUAUGAGGUUAAGAUAUUACUGUCAUGGCAUUCAUACAUAUUUGUACAUGUUCAUCUUGCUGCACCCGGUGUUAGUACUCACCCUAGGGCCAAGGCCAGUCCUUCACGUGUAUGUUCACAGUGCACCAUUUGCUUGCCUUGGAUCCAAGUUAGGUGUCAGUCUUGUCGGGUAGAUUGCAUUAGGCAAUCCAACUUGUAUGUGAUGUGCUUCUGCACCAGUCUUCACGUGAUCAUAGUACUAGAGCAUAUUGAUUACACCUAGUUCUGUUCGUGUCAAAAUUUAUCUGUUCAAACUCGUGUGUCAGCCUAGAUGGAUGAGCACUUAGUUAUACUUGAUUAUCACAUGAUUAUAUUAUUGUGGCAUUCGAUGCAUCAUGAUUUGGCAUACUUCUGGUUAUAAUACUAUUAUAUUGUUGUUGUUUUAUUGUUAACAUACUUACUUAGUAUGUUUUAAGGAAGCUAUACUUGUUUUACGGCGAGGGGUUAGUAUAUUCGAAAAUAAAGGAUUUUGUAUAAGCAUUGUUUUGCUGACCCACUCAACUUUGUUUUUUCGCCCCUCCAGGACCUAUAUAGAUGUACUCCUUGUGGCACUCAAGGAAUCUUGGCAGUUCUGACAAUAUCUUCUGUUUAGACGUACAAACUUAUCACUGUUGUGUAAUAAGUGUACUUUAGUUAUCUUGACUACUCUUAUGUAGUCUUACUGUCUAUUACGCUCUGACUAAUUGUAGUAGGUUCGUCCCACGAUUGCACACUCUUUCACUGUUUAGUAUUUUUUUUGUUCUAUUUAGUUUUAAAUUUAUUCACUUUUUGCAUCACUUACCCUUAUGGUUAUGUCACCUCACGGUGAUGGCCAGCAUGCUUUGACCUUUCUGGGUCGAGGUGUGUCAUUUUUAGUUUUAGUUUGUACCCAUUUUUAAUUUGUAAUUUUUUUUAAAAAUUCGUACCUAUUUUCUUUUCAAUUUUAAUUUGUACUCAUAUAUUAAUUUCUUUUUGUGCCCAUAUUUUUUAAAUUUUAUUUGUAUUUGUACCCAUAUAUUUUUUUUAUUUGUACUUUUUAUUUUGCUAAAUGUACCCAUGCUAAUUAUAUGUACCCAUUCAUGUAAAACUUUUUAGUCUUAAAAUGUACUCAUUCUUAAUAUACCAAUUUGUUAUAUGUAAAAUGUACCAUUUUUGUUUAUAUAAAAUCUAUUCAAUUUUUUUCUAAUCUAUUUUUAAACUUAUAUGGGUACAUUCUUUUUUCUUGGAUUUUAAAAUGUAUCCAUGUCAAGUUUAAUCGAAGAAAUUUACUAAUGUUAUUAAGCCUCAUAUCUUUUUUUCUUUUUUUUUUUGAUUUUGAAGAAUGUGCCCAUGUUUUGAUACAAUAAUUUUUUUGGUUAAUGUUGAUGAAUGUACCCAUGUUUAUAUAUAUAUACACACACACACUGUCACAACCCGUCUCGAAAUAUUAGUUUCGAUGGUGUGAAAUGUCUAAAUUGCCCUUGGACAUUGAGUUUGUUAUGUGGUGUUGUGGCUAAGUUUGGGUUUAAACUUAAUUGGUUAGUUCCUAAGUUUUUGGAACUUAAAGUUAGUAAUUUUUGGUUGUGAUUAGUGACCCAAAUUGGACCACACACCCACACCUCUCGUUGACCUUUCUCUCUCCUCCCUCUCUUGGAUCUUCUUCCAUUUCCGUACAACCCGUACGAACGAACCUCAAACCAACCCAUUUCUGCAUAGAUCGAGCUCGUGAUUAGUACCAUCACCUUCAUCUCGUCAUCAUGAACUCAACCAUACCAUUUUUAGGACUUGGAAGCUUUAGAAAACCUGUGAAAAACCCUACCCCGAAAUUGGCACUGUUCAUGCACGUUUAAACGAAGAGUUUUUAAAGGAUUUUAAACUCACAGAGAGCUUUAGAAGGUCUUCACGAAGCUCGGGGUAGCUCGCUGGGUAGUUUUGGACGUCGAGAUUGUGAGUUUCAAGUUUGGCCGGUUUCUCUCGAAUUUCUCCGGUGAGGUUCCGUGAUCUUUGGGGCUUCAAACAGGUAAGGAAAUGUUCUACAAGUUAAGAGCUUCAUUUUGGUACUGGUUUCAUGAAAUUUGGAUGAAAAUGGGUGAGAUAUAAAGGUUUAAAGUUUUUCUAGUUUUUCCGGCGACGACGACGGUCCGACGAACCAAGGAAGGAGACGACGGAAUAUUCCAUCAAGUUUGACGGAAUAUUCCAACGGCGUCAGGUUAGUUUUAACGGUAUAUGCUACUUUUUAGCGGAAUAUUCCCUAACGCCGUUAAGGUUACCGUCGGUGUGCCUGGCAUGUGCUCGCGCGUGGAUGGCACGUCUGGCCGUGCCUUGGCCGGCGCCGCGGCGCGUGGGUGGUCGGAAAAUUUUUCUAAAAAUAUGGGGAUGUUCGUGAGGUUGUGUAGAUCACGUUGGUAUAUUCAAACGCCUCAUUUGAGCAAUGUAUGAGGAGUUAUUAGCUAGUAUUGGUCAUGCGCUUUAAAUUAACCUUUUUAUAGUUGUUUCGCAUAUAGGGGAGACUUAUCCCGAGGACGAGCGCAGUCAAGGGCGACUCGGGGGCUACGACCCUUCGACAUACCAGUGAGUAGGCUUUUGGUUUUCAGUAUAUACUUAUAUACUUGAGAGUUUCCCAGAAAAUGCGUUUAAAUGAAAGUAUGCCUUGAAAUGCCAUGCAUAUAAAUUUAUAUUCUGUAUAUGAAUUGGUAUAUGAUGCAUACUAUAUAAUUGUGGUGCUGUGGAUGCUCAGGUAAGCCCAUGUGAGUUAUGAAUUGUGAAUGUGAUUAAAGUUGUGAUUGAGAAACAUUGAGCUCAUAAACCUGCACCUAGGGUGAUUGUGAUUUAGCCAAAGAUAUGACACAAGCCUGUUUAUAAUGUCACCUCCCGCACCAUAUGCUCACAUUGGAUCCAAUUUAGAUGCACAGUCUUGUCGUACAGACCAUCAUAGGUGGUUCCGACUCGUAGGUGACUAGCGAUUUAUCGUCCAACUAUCAUGAGAGUGUAGUAUUGAGUAAUGAGCUAUGAAUUUAGCCGUACAGACUUAUGCAUGGGUUCCAGCUAAUAUAUUAUUUUCCAUGAAUUUAUUCUCACAUGAGUUACUUAUUCUAUUUUAUGUUUUGGCAUGGCAUACUUAUGAAUAUGAUUAUGUGAAGCAUGAUUUGAAUUGAGAUAUUUACAUAUAUACUUAUGCAUAUGUUUAUAUUCUAUUUAUGGGAAAGUUAUACAUGUUUUACGAUAAGGAGUUAGAACUUUUGAGAAAUGAAAUGAAUUUGAAAACAUUUGUUUUUUACCACUCUUGUUUUCUGUUUUGCACCCUUCCAGGUUUUAGGUAAACUUGCGAUUGGUGGCGUACGAGGAUUUCGGCGAUUCUGACAUAAUAAAAUAAUUGUAGAACAUUUUCUGGUACUGUGUAAUUAGUACUUGUCAUACUGGAUUGCACCUAGACUUUCUAUGCUCUGAUUAGGAGUAUUUACACUUGUAUCUCACUCCUAGCACUUCCUGUUUAUUAGUGCACUUUAGUAGUUUUCUGUUUUUAUUUAUUCGUAUAUUUCUUGUCCUUAUUACUUCCGCACUAUGCACAUGGUUACGUUACCCUCACGUGACGGCCAGUAUGCCUUGAUCUUGGUCGGGAUGUGUCACACACACACAAUUGUAUAUUUAUAUUUUAAUAUUUUUAAUCCCACAAAUUAUGGUUUUUUAUUUAAAAUCUCAUUUAUAUAAACAACUAAAAUUUCUAAUUUUUAAUUUAAAAAAAUAUAGUAACGUACAUAGAAAUAAAUUAUCACAUUAAUUUCAGAGACCUCGAUCAAAAAUUAAAAAUCAACAAGAUUUCAAUUAAAAAAUGUUUAUAAUUAAGAACCGCAUCUAAAAUCUCUUUUUUUCCUGCAAAAUAAUAUACUUACACUAAAAGGACGGGGUAAAAUAAUCGGGUAAAACGAAACUCAUGGCCCAACACUUGCAAAUGGUGAGGGCUUUUCGUUAUGGGAUGCAUAUCCGGUGGAAAUGGAAUAUCCGAGUUUAAGACAAACUACGUUAAUCUUUAUGUCGAUGUGGUGGGACAUGUGAAAAAUACAGCUUUUUCUUAUUUUCCAAAAGUCACAUGAAGACAAAAGAUCGUGAAAACAUGGAACUUGAAUUAGAUCCUGAUCAUUUAUGUGGUAAAGAUGAAAGCAUAGAUGUAUUUCGAUUCAGUUACAGAGGCGAACAUGGAUGCAAUUACUUUUAUCAUUUCACUGUACAAUUGCAUAUACUUUCAAACAAAUAAAUGUAUACUGAUAUACGCCCACAAACAAAGUACGUGUGAAAUGUUUUAUUUUUGUUUUUAAAAUUGAAUGAGUGAGGAAGAGAGUGAGAGAGAACGUAGAGUGAGGAGAGAAGGAGAGAGGGCUUUUUUUAAAAAAAAAUUAGAAAUGUUAAAGUCACAUGUAGUACACAAAAAAUAGUAAAAUUUUAUUUUGUGAAAUUAUAUUACUACCUUUAAUUUUUUUGUUAUGAUAGAAGAAUAAAUAGUCAUUUUCACUAUUUUUUAGUUAACAAAGAAAGUUAUAUUAAUAUGUAGUUUAGAAGUUUUUUCACCAUCAUUUAAUUGACAAAAACAAUCAUACUAAUAUGUAGCUUAUUAGAUAACUAACUAUUUGACUCUUACCAAUUUUUUUUAAGGAAAACUAAUGAAAAUGGCUUGAAAACUUUAAGUUUUAACAAUAGGGACAAAAUAAAGGGUAAAGUGAAUAGUACCAGGAUUGACUUUUUAGUGUAAAAAUGUGGUUUUUUGUUAAAGUGAACAGUACUAUGAGUUUUUCGUUAAAGUUCCAUUUUUUUAGCCAAUUUGAAAAAUAAACACUCGAAUAAUGAACUGACACAGGCGAUGUUAAUUGGAAGAGGAUUCUCUCCGGAUCCACUUUGUAGGGAUUCUAGAUAUUUUCACAUCCUAACGGUUUAUCAUAUAUCGUGCGGCUGGUUUUCGUCAGAUACUAUUUGUGUUUAAUUUUAAAUAAAAAACAGUGAAAUAAUUUUUUAUCGUACGAUACCCAAUAAAUAAUUAAGAUAUGAUAAUUCUUAAGAUCUUCACAAUUUGAAUCCGGUGAGAUCCAAUUCCAUAUUAAUUAUCUCCUCAAAUUCCCCUAGUUUUCAAGCAAUCUAAAAUAAGGGUAAAUUACACAGUAACCCCUUAGGUUUUGAAGUCUAUUACAACCUCAUACAAUAACUUUAAAACAUUUCACUUUCAUACUUCAAGUACUAUUUUAUUUCAAUAUAAUACAUCCGUUAGAUUUUCCAUCCAUUAAUCCGUUAAAUACUGACGUGGCUGCCACAUUUGUGCCACGUGGCAAAAAAAAUAAUUUUUUAAUUUUUUUUAUAACCUAAAUUUUUCUCAAAAAAAAAUAAAAUAAAAUGAAACCCACAUCUGCAAGAAGAAGAAGAGGGAGGAAGAAAGAAAAAAAAAAUUGAAACGAAACCCACAUCUAAGACGAGAAGAAGAAGAAGGAGAAAAAGAAGAAAAGGGAGGAGGGUCGCCGGGCCGGAGGGGGACCGGAGGUGUGUUGCUGGGGGGGGGGGGGAUAGGAGAAGGGUCGCUGGGUGGGGGUGACAAAUUUUAUUUUAUUUUUUUUUUUUCUUCCUCCCUCUUCUUGUUCGUCUGUGUCGCUGGGCUUGGGGGAAGGGGGUUUAGGGACAAAUUUUUUUUUUCUUUUCUUCCUUUUCUUCCUCCCUCUUCUUCUUCUUCUUGAUAGCUGGGUGAGGGUGGUAGCUGGGUUGUGGGGGGGGGGGAGGGACAAAUUUUUUUUUUUUUCUUUUCUUCCUCCCUCUUCUUCUUCUGGGUCGCGAGGGGGGGACAAUUUUUUUUUCUUUUUCUUUCUUCCUCCCUAUUCUUCUUCUUCUUGCAGAUGUGGGUUUUUUUUUUUUUUUUUUUUUUUUUGAGAAAAUUCAGGUUUUAAAAAAAAAUAUUUUAUUUGCCAAGUGGCAGACAUUUGGCAGCCACGUGGCAUAUAUGUGGCAACCACGUCAGCAUUUAACAGAUCAAUGGAUGGAAAAUGUAACAGAUGUAUUAUUUUGAAAUAAAAUAGUACUUAAGGUAUGAAAGUGAAAUGUUUUAAAAAUGUUGUAAAGAAUUGAAAUUGACUCCAAACCUGAGGUAUGAAAGUAUAAUUUACCCCUAAAAUAUUGACAAAGUCUGUAAAAUUUGACUAGUUUUAGAAAGGUCCCAUCAAGACUGCCGGCUGGAUUAUAUUCAUGCCUAACCUGCAAAAUUGUUUACAGGAGCUUAUCUAUAAAAAGUGAUAUUCUUCUCAAAUAUUAGUAUUUUUUUAAAAUAAAGAUGGGACGUUAGACCAUCUUCAAUCCUUGGGCUAAAAGUUAAAUUUUUUAGCCCGGAAAAUUUGGCUUUUAACCCAGAAACAUAUUUUCUGCUCUAACCCUUCUGCCCUAAAAUUUUAGCCCGGAAUUAUUAAAGAAUGAACUUAGGCUAAUUUUUUUUCUUAAACCAAUUUUUUUUAAAAAUAAAUAAAUAUGUAGAUUAUUUUAAAUUAAUUUUAUGAACAUUUUAAUCUAAAAAAAUUUAAAUUCCGAUAAACAUUUGGCAUUUAGCCCGGGAGGAAAGCUGAGGGGUAUUUGGCCCAGAAAUAACAUUUGGCAUUUAGCCUAAAAUUUUAACAUGGGUUGGAGAGUGUUUGGGGGGAGGUAAUUUGGCUUUUAGCCCAGGUUUGGAAAUGGUCUUAGUGGUCCAUAUUUUUAUUAAAAUAUAUAAUAAGUAUAUCAUUACUCGAUCUAUAUUGUUAAGCCAAUUCAAGUUUAUUGUACCAAUAAAAUUAUAGAAUUUUAACAUAACACUUCUGAAACUGUUUAUUUUUAAUGAAAAAUCACAUUUUUAUCUUUUUCUUGUACUAUUCACUACACUUUUAUUUGUCAUUUUUUCUUAAAGCUAAAGUUUUUUUGAACAUUUCAUUAGUUUUCCUAUAAAACUAUUUAGUCAACUAUAAUUAGUUGAUAGAGCAACAAAAAAAUUACUAAUUGGUUCUACGAAAUACAAAAAUUAAUAAUUGGUUGUACAAAUCAUGGAAGAAAAUAUCGAUAAUAUCGGCGAUAUAUCGCCGAUAUUAUCGGUUUUUCCCCAAAUCGAUAUUUUAAGUGGUAUCCAAGGGGUUUUCGUCAAAAUAUCGCGAUAUUUUGGAAAUAUCGCGAUAUUUUUUUAACGGUGCAAUCGGAGAAGAACGCCGGAGAUGGUGUGCCUAUUCCCAAGCCGAUUUCGUCCCAAAAACCUUGCAAAAACACGAUUUUGAACUUCAAUUUCACAUAUAAGGUUCAAAUUUCACGUAUGCAAGAGGUAAUCAACAUAGGGUUUAGUCGGAUCUCACCUGAAAACUUGGGUGUGCCUGGGUGUGGGUGCGAUCGGGGAAGCCGAGCUUCCUCUGCGCGUCGCCGUGCUUCCCAGAGACGGAGGAGAGGGAGGGAGAGUUCAGGAGGGUGGUGGAGAUGCUGCGCUGGCAUCGGGGUGGACGAUUUGGUGUGCCUGGGUGUGGGUGCGAUCGGGGAAGCCGAGCUUCCUCUGCGCGUCGCCGUGCUUCCCAAAGACGGAAGAGAAGGAGGGAGAGAACGAGAGUUUGAGAGAGAGAUAGAGUUGAGAACUCUGAGAGAGUGAGGGGUCCGAGAGGGACUCGGGAAAAGAGAGACAGAUAGGGUGAGGGUUAGUGGGCUGCCACGUGGCAGCGUGACAGAGAGUGAGAAUCAAGAUGGAGGGUCCAGAUUAGAUUAGGAUAAAGGACUCAAUUGCACAAUUUAUAUAAUUUCAUAAAAAGAGUGAAAAUAUAAAUUAAUCUGGGGGUCUAGAUUAGAUUAGGAUAAAUGACUCAAUUUCAGAGAAAAAGUGAAAAUAUAUAAUUUUAGGGAAAUAGUAGAAGUUGUAUUUAUUGGUUAGGCAUAUGGAAAUGCAAAAAAUUGUUUUUCUAAUGAUUCUAAUCAAUUUCAAGAAAAAUAAUGAAUUUAUAAGGGUAAGAUGAGUCUAUAAAAGUGAUAUACAUGAGUCUAUAAGAGUGUCGGUCAGUUUUAGACAAUUUAGAUUUUUUUAAUCAUUUUUGCCAAUUGGCUUGUUAUCGCCUUGUUUAGAUUUUGCAUCACCAUGUUUUAUAUUAGGAUUAUUUUUUUAUCAAAUUGGAUUAUUAUUCAUUAAAUUGGAUUAUUAUCAAAUUGAAUUAUUAUUCAUUAAAUUGGAUUAUUAUCAAAUUGGAUUAUUAUUCAUCACCAUGUUUUAUAUUAGGAUUAUUUUUUUAUGAAAUUGGAUUAAUUUCAUUAUUAUUCAUUUAUUCAUUAAAUUGGAUUAUUCAUUAAAAUGGAUAACUACUCUUCACAAUACACUCACUCUACACAUAGAGAUGAUGAAGAUAGUGAAAAUUUUGAACCUCAUAGGAACUCUAUGUGGUACUAAGGCACUUAUAUAUCUUACCAUGCAAUGUAUAAAGUGUAAAAUAUUGUACUAAUUCAUUAUAUAUAAAUGAUUAUGGUGUGUUUAGACUUCUUUCAUUAAUUACUACAUAUUUUCUACACUCACAAUGUUUGUCAGCUCGCUAUAUAAUCAACUUGAUAAUGUUAAAUCCAUCAUGCAAUGCAUUUCUUUCCAAUUUUUGUGAUAAACUAAUAGAUAAUUGACUAAAUAAACAUCCUACAAAGUUUCAAUAAAAAUUUUCAAGUUUUUCUUACAAUUUCCGUGGUUUCUAUGUAAUUUUUAUCGAUAUCGAUAUUUUACCGAUAUUUCCAUCGAUAUUUCCGUGUUUUCGGACUACCUAUAUUUCCGAUAUGACCGAAAUUUUCUUCCUUGGUACAAAUAUAUUGAAUUCGUGAUUAUAUAUAGGUGGUAGAAAUUUUAAUAAAACAAAAAUAAUAAUUGAUUGAUUUUAUUAUUUGAAAGAAGCGAAAGCAUUAUCAUGCAUGUUAUAAGCACGUUGAAUCCUGUUUGUAUGACGACCUUCCUUCAGCUUUCGGCAGAAUUAUUGCCCAAAUUUUUUUAUUGAUUUUUUUUUUCUGGUAAGGCAAAGUUAAUUGGUCACAUGCAUGAGAUAAAAUUUUGAAUCUACAUGGUCAGCUGUAAUUGUGAGACACGUUGUUGCUGUCCAUAUGUGGUAUUUGGUAAUGCAAACUACUCCAUUAAUCCAACUAAUUACUUCACGCAUGAAUGAAGCGAUUGAAUUUUGGUUUCUCUGCAUUAUUAUAUCAAUCUCAUUUUUCUCUAAAGUAGCCUAUAACUUUGGAUUAAUUUGUUUUUUGUUAACAGUGGGGCUGCCAACAAAGAGAAACUAUAAUAAAAUAUCACUUCGUCUAAAGAUCCCUACAUCGUUUACCAUUGAGAGAUGUUGACAAGAGAUAAAUCGUUUGAUCGAAAUAAAUUGAACUAGGUAAACACGAUAAACUCAAGUUAACUAGUUUAUCAGUCACAAAAUUUAUCUCACGAACUUUGAAUUUUUUUUCUCUUUGUACAAAUCCAUCCCAAGUAUAACUAAUAAGAUGUACCAUUAGUUAUUCAACAUUUGUGACGACUAUUUGAUUCCAAGUAAAUUAAUAAGGAGUUUACUUCUAUUCUCAAACGCAAGAUAAUAAAUUUACUCCAUAAUAAGAAAUUGUUCAGAAAGCAACUGGAAAUUGUUCAGAAAGCAACUGGAAAUUGAUAGGCAAUGUUGACUGCCAGUUGCCAUUUUUGAAAUAAAAAGAAGUCUUCAGCACCCCUCGCUCAUCCUCUCCCAAAUUAAACAAGAGAAAAAAAAAUUACCACGAUGAUAAUUAGUCAAACCAAACUAAAAACGUUUGGGUAAAUUGUCACAAUGGUUUCUGAGAUUUGCAUAACUCAUCACUUUGGUCCCUAAGAUUCCAAAUCGAUAAAAGUGGUCCCUGAGAUUGUCCAACAUCUAUUAUUUUGGUAAUUCCGUUAAAAACUCCGUUAAGUAUCCCAGAGCUCUUGGCCGAAAGUUUGGGCAAUUUUUAAAGCUUCGUAACUCAAUCGUUUCUUAAUCAAAUUCGACCCAUAAUGUAUCAAAAUGAAGAUAGGAAAGUGUAGAAUAAGAUUAUACCUAUUUCAAAGCCCAAUGGUUGCCAGAGAUGGCUGGAAAAUAGCCUCAAAGUUGACUAGUCCGAGUGAAAACUUGAAAACUCGCCGGAAACUGGAUAAACUUUAAACGUUUAUAAUUUCUUCAAUACUCAAUGAAAUCAAGUGAUUCAAAAACAAAAAUCAUACUUCUCAACGCGAUGAAGAGAAUGAUAUGUUUUUCGACGGCUAAAUCACGGUGGUUUGGCCGAAAAACGGCUUGAAAGUGGCUAACUCGAGACCAAGACAGCCACUUUCAAGCCUUUUUCCUGCCAAACCAUGGUGAUUUAGCUGUAUACCAUUCUUUUUGUCUCGUCGAGAAGUAUGAUUUUUGUUUUUGAAUAACUUGAUUUCGUUAAGUAUUGAAGAAGUUAUAAACGUUUAAAGUUUAUCCAAUUCCUGGCGAGUUUUCAAGGUUUUACUUGGACCAGUCAACUUUGAGGCUAUUUUUCGGCUAUCUUCGGCAACCAUUGGGCUUUGAAAUAGUAUAAUCUUAUUCUACACUUUCCUAUCUUCAUUUUGAUAUAUUAUGGGUCGAAUUUGGUUAAGAAACGAUUGAGUUACGAAGCUUUGAAAAUUACCCAAACUUCCGGCCAAGAGCUCGAGAACACUUAAACGGAGUUUUUAAAAGAAUGACCAAAAUGAUGGAUAGUGGACAAUCUCAAGGACCACUUUUAUCGAUUUGAAAUUUCAGUGACCAAAAUAAUGAGUUAUUCAAAUUUCAAAAACCAUUUUGACGAUUUAUCCAAAACGUUUUAACAUUUAUAAAUUAUAAUUGUUGGUCAAUUUUGUCACAACAUGUGAAUGUGUGUACUUUUUUUAUCCUUUGGUUGCUUUUUUCCCUUGAACUGUAUCUGAUGAUUUUUAAGGCUCCAAACAUGAUAUUUUCAAAAAGCAUCAUCUCCAUCUUACAUUCCUACUUUUUGCCAUCUAAUUAAAACUGCCGACUGUUUAUAAUUUUUUUUUGAGAACUUUAACGAAAAGCAUUCGGUACUGUUCAUUUUAACGAAAAAACACAUUUUUACACUAAAAAGUCAAUCCUGGUACUAUUCACUUUACCAUUUAUUUUAUCAUCAUCAUUAAAAUUCAAAAUUUACAUUUUUACACUAAAAAGUCAAUCCUGGUACUAUUCACUUUACCCUUUAUUUUAUCAUCAUCAUUAAAAUUCAAAAUUUUCAAACUUUUUUUAUUAGUUUUUUUUUUUUUUUUUUUUGGAAACUCCGACUGUUAUUAGAAUCUGCAAAAGCAGCCUAGAAACUAUAUAUGCACGCACAGCCAGAAGUGGGGCCGAUCGGGAAUAAUUGAAGCUAAUAAUCUAAGGAUAUAUAAUGAAAAAGUUUUGAAAACUUUGAGUUUUAAUGAUAAGAACAAAAUAAAGGGUAAAAUGAAUAGUAUCAGGAUUAAUUUUUUAGUGUAAAAAUAUAAUUUUUCGUUAGAAUAAAGAGUAUCGUGUACUUUUCGUUAAAAUUCCCAAUAAUCUAACCAUGCAUCUAGAAGCCUUAAGUUUCUUGUCUACACUCUCACCGUCUUAUCCAAAAUGGAAAAACCAGUUGGAUUUUUUUAUUAAUCAAUUCAAAGGUGCUUUAUUUGACCAAGUCAAAUUUCUAUUAAAUAUUGUCACUUGGAGUACUUAUCCAACGCACCAGUGACACAAAUUUGUAAUGGAAUGUGAUAUUCAUUUAUCAUAUUUGAUUUUUUACAUAUUUUUUUAAUUUUUAAUUAUCGGAUCGAAUAAAUUGAAGAAAAUCAAUUGAUAAAAAUUAAUCAAAAAUAUGUAUGAAGUAAAAUGAGAUACGUGGAUAACACUCCCCAUUUGUAAUAAACAUUUUAAAUUCCUUGUAAAUUUGGAGACAUCGGAUGAUCAAAUGACAAUAUGCCCCACUGUAAUCCUAUAAAUACCACCUCCCAGUACUCAUCUCCAACACAAUACUCUCAACCUUCAAUAAAACCAUCAUCCUUCCUUUGCUCAUUUUCCAACCUUUUUUUUAAUCAUCAUGGGUGUCUGCACAUUUGAGAACGAGUUCACCUCUGAGAUUCCACCAUCAAGAUUGUUCAAGGCCUUUGUCCUUGAUGCUGACAACCUCAUCCCCAAGAUUGCACCCCAGGCAAUCAAGCAAGCUGAAAUCCUUGAAGGAAACGGUGGCCCCGGAACCAUCAAGAAGAUCACUUUUGGUGAAGGUCAGUUAAUUAGCACGGUUAAUGAUUUCGAUGGUUUCGUUUAACAAAUUUUAUUAACCCGUAUACAUGUUGAUGUUGUUAGACUUGCAGUAUUUGUGGAUUUCUAGAUGAUUAUAUGUGAUCAGUAUCCAGAGUCUAAUAAUAUUAUAUGUUUUAUUUGUCUCGCAGGCAGCCAGUACGGCUACGUGAAGCACAGGAUUGACUCGAUUGACGAAGCAAGCUACUCAUACUCCUACACUUUGAUUGAAGGAGAUGCUUUGACAGACACCAUCGAGAAAAUAUCUUACGAGACCAAGUUGGUGGCAUGUGGAAGUGGUUCCACCAUCAAGAGCAUCAGUCAUUAUCACACCAAGGGAAACAUUGAAAUCAAGGAAGAGCACGUCAAGGCUGGAAAAGAGAAGGCCCAUGGUUUGUUCAAGCUUAUUGAGAGCUACCUUAAGGACCACCCCGACGCAUACAACUAAAUUAAUCAUAAGUAUCUAUGGUGUUUUGGGUGUUACCGUUACUAUAUGGUCAGUCGAAGGUUGUGUGGCUUUUCUUUGUAUGUUUUUUUCACGUCAGCCAAAAGUAAUAACCAUGGUUUGGGCAGUUUGGGCUUGAAAAAUAAGUGUUAUGGUUGUGAUGAUCUUCUUGUUGCGAUGUCUUUGUUUGGAAAAAAGUUGGCAGACUGAACGGAGUGUAUUAUCUUCU